Molecule: long non-coding RNA, 79032 nt
Filed under: Oryza sativa (Asian cultivated rice)
Lineage: Eukaryota; Viridiplantae; Streptophyta; Magnoliopsida; Poales; Poaceae
Description: long non-coding RNA (OSAT_LNC001277)
Source: RNAcentral
GCCAUCAUACGCAGACAACAACCAAUUCUACCAACCUGCAACGAUUCAUGGGUAUCAGCUCGCAUCAUACCUAAAACAGAUGAAUGCUAAUCGAAAUCCUUACUCUAGCAUGCCAUUGGACCCACAGCGACUUCCAAAAUCUUCUGCAUCGGCUGUGCCAACCUAUGUCGAUUCUGUCAUGCAUGCUCGUAACCAGAACUUGCUUGCUUCAUUGGGAGCUACUCCUUCACAGAUCGCAGCAACAUCCCGGAUAGGUACUAUGAUGGCAGAAAGAUCCUAUUAUGUCCCUUCCACUCUUGACGGGAAUGAAAAUGCUGGUUCAUCAGCUUACUCAAAGAAGUACCACAGCUCACCAGACAUAUCUGCACUGAUUGCUGCAAGCAGGAGUGCUCUGUUGAAUGAAUCAAAGUUGGGUGGUGGUACCAUUGGAUCCCAGUCGUACCUUAGCAGGCUUGCAUCGGAAAGAUCUCAGUAUACAAACUCGGUGGCCAGGCCUGCAGCUCCCUUGGCGUUUGAUGAGCUCUCUCCACCUAAGCUCCCAGGGGAUAUCUUCUCAAUGCAACAAAGCCCAAACCCAAGUGCAAGAUCCCUUUGGGCUAAGCAACCUUUUGAGCAGCUGUUUGGUGUGUCGAGUGCGGAGCUCACUAAAAGCGAGUUCAACCCUGCAGGCAGAUCGGGUGGCAUGACCAAGGAUGAUUUCUCUUACAAGGAGUCUGAGGCGAAGCUUCUUCAGUCUCUUAGAUUCUGCAUCUCGAAGCUCCUGAAGCUAGAAGGAUCAGGGUGGCUGUUCAAGCAAAAUGGUGGCAGCGACGAAGAUCUGAUUGAUCAAGUUGCUGCGGUAGAGAAGCUAUUGCAACAAGGAACCAGUGACAACCAACUGCUGCUUGGUGAUACUCAGCAACCACCAUGUGAUAAGGCAGACAUCCAGUACAUGCGCGUACUGCCUAACUGCGGAGACGACUGCAUCUGGCGCGCCUCCCUCGUUGUCAGCUUCGGUGUCUGGUGCAUCCGCCGGGUGCUAGACCUGUCUCUGGUGGAAAGCAGGCCAGAACUUUGGGGCAAGUAUACCUAUGUUCUCAACCGUCUUCAGGUGAGCUAUUUCAGUCCUGAACUAGUCUGAAUUUGAGUGUUGUUUUUCAGUGCCCAAGACUUGACUGCAAACCUGAAACUGCUCAUUUUCAACGUACAAGACUAACUCUGUCAAUCAUUUUUUUCGCUCAAAUGUAAUGCAGGGCAUCCUGGAUCCUGCAUUCUCCAAGCCUCGGAGUGCUCUCAGCGCGUGUGCGUGCCUUCACAGAGAUAUCCGGGUGCUCAACAGCCUGCGCCACAGUAGCCUGGUAGCAACAAACUCCAUUCCAAGGCAAAUCCGAGGUUCCUUCACCACCGCAUCUGUGGUCCUGGAGAUGAUCAAGGAUGUGGAGACCGCAGUCUCAGGGCGCAAGGGCAGGAGUGGCACCGCAGCUGGGGAUGUCGCCUUCCCCAAGGGGAAGGAGAACCUGGCCUCCGUGCUGAAGCGAUACAAGCGGAGGCUCUCGAGCAAGGGACAACAAUAAUAAGGCAUCUGGGCAGCGUGAUCCUGUCGCGUUUUAGGGGGACUUUGACCAUUGUUCUUCAAGGAUGGCAGCCAGCCAUGGUGGCUUGCCCUCCCUGAGCCCUGGAUUUUUUCGUUGCACAACGUUUGCAGGGACCUGAGGAAUUGGCCAACACUUCUGGUCCCUUCCAUCAUAUUUCGUUUUUUUUUGUUUCUUUCUUGUUUUUUUUUUUUUUUUUGCAUGUGAUGUGUUGUAUAAUGGUAACUGUUCAUGUGCCAGAAGAACAACCACCAAAAUGUACAACAGAUGUAGUCAGCUGAUGCACCAUUGUAAAGUUUAGUCUCUGCAUUUUAACCUUUUUUUUGGGGGUCAUUGACAAACUGAAUGAAUGCCCUGUGUAAUCUCUCUUCAGAGAGGAUGCCAAGACUGAGAAAAAGCUUUUGCCAGAUUUCCAGAUUCCUUGUGUUCAUCUAAUAUCUGUCAUGUCUCUCACAUUUUCUCCAGCUUAUGAUCUUUUUGUCUCGUUGGCAUUUGAUAGCGUGUGCUGGAGAUGUCUACCGUAUAUGUGGAUUACUGUAUUAAGCUUCUGGGACCGGUGUAUAUAUAUAAUUUGUAUGGAUAGAGAUAAAGAAAUACUAACUCGAUAUGGAUUAGUUAUAUCCUAAUGUUUCUCUAAACACCAGGCGUAGUGGCACUGUACUGCAACCUCACCCAAGAACAUGUUUUUGGGGUUCAGACUUGAGAGUAUCCAUUGCUGAAUUUGCCUCACCGCAAGUUUAGUCUUGCAUUUCACAAAAUUGCAAGGAUAGCUAACAAUUUUAUCACAAAACCAUAAACUUUGUGGCCGUGCAAUUGGAUAUGCUCUCUUUGCUCAGAAGCUUUUGAGGAUACUGAUCACCUGUUCAGAAACUGUGCCUUUGGACUUGAUUUGUACCGGGAAACUUGACAACCCGGCCGACACAGUAUUCUCGAUUAGAUGUUGGGAAAACAAGAUAGCCAAAACAAAUACGGCACAAAAGGCAAAGGAGACCUCUGGGAAUACUAAUCAGGAGAGAGAAACUUAGGUGGUGUUUGAAUCUUCCUUUAAGAUGAAGAUUAAGUGUUUCACGUAAAACGAGGUGAUAAUAUUAUGUGAUUAAUUAAGUUCUAAUCAUUACAAACUUGAAAAAUAUAUUAAUUUGAUAUUUUAGAACAACUUUUAUAUAGAAAGUGUUCACAUGAAACUACCGUUUAGCAGUUUAGAAAAGCGUGCCACGAGUAUCCAAAAGCUUAUCAAUUUUGUUGGAGAAAAGAAUAGGGUUAGUCUUCCAAGGUUCUUUUAUUCGGCAGAGCUCCCGCUGUCGGUUCUUUAAAGAAAAACUCGUAGAUUAGGCCACCCAUCAAAUAUAAAUGUAAUACUCCAUUACACAAAUUUAAUUUUACAUAAGGGUUCAAAAUUACAUUAUAGUUUAUUUACACUACGAAUUACAUCUGGGUAAAUUUUUAGAAAUUUGGAAGCAAAACCGUGAACACGUCAUCAAAAACUGGAUGUGGGCUCCACGAGUUCAGAGGAUGUUCCGAACCCGUUUUGAUCGCCCACGGCCCGCCGCCCCGCCGUGGAGCCGAUCCCCGCCACCGCCGGCGAGCAGCUGUUCCGGACGGCGUCCUGCUGCUCCCUGCGCCGCCCCCAUCCCCUCGGCCUCCGCCGAGCUCGUUCCUGCGCGGUGAGCAUCCUUGCCGACGCACCAGAACCCUCUUUUUUUUCUCUCUCUCUCUCGUUGUACCCACACACCUCUACUCGAAUUUGCUCUAUCUUCUCUUGUAGAUCUGAAAGCUAGGUUUUCUUUUUUACUUGUCUUAACCUUUAGUUACAUAACAGGUUUUUUCCCACAUCAGGUCCACAUCGAUCUAUAAUAGCCAAGAGCCCAAGACCUGCAGGGCUUCCCGGGGGUGGUGCAUCUUCUCAGGCGGAGGGGCCUCCUUGGAUUCCUUGAAGUUUAUGGCGCCGGCGACCAAACUCAUCACCGUGUGUGCACCGGCAAAUAUGACGAACAGGUCCCCCUGUACAUGUGCGCGGUCACCUUGAGUUGGUCACCCCUGUCAAAACAUAGUAACUUUGUCAAAACCUAACCUAAACAAACAUGUUUUUUUCACAAAAUUCUUCAUUCUUACCUCAUGUCUGAUUUUAACAAAUCUAGCCUGUGGUUUGCCUUCAGAUGAGCAAUACGCCAUCCAUGCAUACUUCCUGCCGCCCUCUCCUGUUUCCUAAUGCGCUGCUCAAGGCGCCUCAUCAUAACCUUUUGCACCAGAAAAGCAUCAAAAUGUUGCUUGUCAGCACAAAACAAUAAAUCCUUCUCAAGUCUCAACGAGGGGGUAAAACUUCCAGCAUCACAGGUAGCUUCUCCAGGUCACUCCUCUCUCAUCCAGUUAGGAAUCGUGGAUGCAAAUGCAGAAUCGAUUUCAUCCGUCCCCGAAAAGAAAUACAAGGGAUUUUGGCAAUGCGAAUGCAGAGCCAAACUCCCUCAUAUUUGGAUUUGGGGACAGAGGUAGCAGAUAGGCAAGGCAAUUAGAGCAGUAAUUUUACCCUGGUAGCUCUUGUGGAGAAAUAGCGGGGCUGGGCGAGUGCGGAGGAAGCCCAUGGUGGGGUGGAGGUGGCGGCGGACUGAACAAGAAACAACAAGUUAGGCGCAUUUAACGGAGGAAUAGUGCAGUAGCAAUAACUAGGAAGCUUGUGCAACAAAAUAAGCAAGCACACGCGACAACAAAAUGAUCCAAUCCAAUUACUUAGAAUCAACUCAACUCAAUAGUGCAGUAGUAGCAAAUCAGAAAACAACUUCAACUCGGACUGGCAGCUGCUGACGCAGGACGAGGCGCGCGGCCACGUCCGCGAGUACGCCGACAACGCCGCCCUCUGGGACCACGACUUCGCCGCCUCGCUGCUCAAGCUCAGCAAGCUGCCCAUGCCGGUGGGGAGCAAGGGGGAGAUCAGGAACAAGUGCGGCGCCAUCAACCACAGCAAGAGCUAAUUCGGCCACUUAUGCAGGGGGUUACGUACAUGCAUGCAGACGAUGUGGUCGUAGCCAUAUGUUUUCUUGUUAUAUCUCAUCGUUCUAAAAUACAGAAAACCUUGUACUCGAAAAAAACAUCAUAUAGUACUAUCAAAUCAGUCUAGAUUUAUACUACUAGAUAGCUAGUGUCUAAUCGAGUACUAGGAGUAUAUUUUAAAACAAGAGUAGUUUGUUAUUACUUGGUACUAGCACGUCAGUGAAUGUACGUGCACAAGAAAUCCUCGUCGAUAAUGAAAACUAGCAUGGUAUUGGAGAAUCCAUCUCUUAAACCCAUCAAGUCGAAAUCCUGAAGCACCAAAAUCCCCCUACUUGAUACGCAACUAUCGACGUUUGAUGUCGCAAUUCUGGUAUUUGCAUAGUAUGGGGAUCGUCGGUGCUAGGAUAUACGCGAGACUGAGGUGAAAGAGACGGAGACAAGGAUUUUUAUACAGGUUCGGGCCCCUGAGUUGUCAGGUAAUAACCCUACAUCCUGUUGGCCGGAGCCGGUAUUGCUUUUAUUCACCAUAAUCACACCAGUACAAUAUGUGGGGUAGCCUAUUUAACUGUUGUCGACAUGUCGGUCUGAAGGUCUGACUCGUAGUCGACAACAGGGUAGCCUUCCUCCUCGAAUCCGUGUCCGGCGAGAUCAGAGAUAGCGCUUUCGUCUCUCCUGACGGUAUCCGGAGACACCGUAGGGGAAUAGCCAUGCCUAUCCCUGAAGUCGAUAUCCGGCGGCUUGUCUUGGCAUAUGUUGGCUUGUAUGUUGUGGCUUCUGUUGUUCCGUAUAUUGUGGUGGUUGUUGAUUGAGGUGGUCGUCUGUGUCGAUCGUGGUGACUGUGUUGAUCCUGUCAUGGUGGGUGUCCCACUGUCCUCCUAGGGGGGCUUGUAUUUAUACCUAUAGGUGUCCCAUUGUCCAAGUAGAACUAGGGAAACCAAUAUGGAUACAAUCCGAGUAGUCCUUGUCGUUUCCAUGUAAAACUCUGGUUGUCUUUCCUUAUCCGGAACUCCCUCCAUAACUGAAGUUAGUUUCUGUAUAAGACAUGGUAUGUGGUGGGUCCUGCCGAGAUUUAGUCAACUACUAUUAGGUAUGUGGUAUCCAUAACCCUGACAGUAGCCCCCGACUUCAAUGCAAAUGAACGAAUUCAUAUUCUCAACCGCAGACCCUGGAGUAACUGUUGUCGUGCUCACGUUACCGUUCUCGGUGAGUUUAGAGAUAACGUUAGACUUUCUUUAUCAGCCUCGUGCGGGCACCAAAAGGGUUUGUCUAAGUCAAUCUCUGAUGUCAACCAAGGAAGUACAGAGCGUACGACUAAGUCUCCCGUCUUGCUGUAAUCGAGAAUUUGGAUUGAAGUCAAGAAAUUCUAUCUCGGCUGGUACACCAUCUCUUCAUUCCGUAUUCCUUGUCGAGAUCCAGCAACCGUUCUCGAGCGAUCGAGAAGGCGUAGAGUCUGCGACGGAGCCUUGUCAACAUUUGUCGUACUCGCCAUAGUCGAUCUUGGUGUAGAACCAUAGAGACAUAGAGUCUUCGUCAAUGUCGAAUAGAAUUUUCCUGAAAUCAAUACUCAGAAAAGAAUAUUAGAUAGAAAUAGCCCCCGAGCGAAUGCCCAAAGGGUGAUAAUGUUAUAAUAUGUAUGGUAAAUUGAAAAUGAAUUAAAUUUACCGACCAAUGUUUUGUGUAUGAGCGUCUUCUCUCUUACCGACUUCGAUCAGUCAGUUUGUAGAGUCAUACACUCUCCCUAGCCCCCAGCCUUGUCAUCGGAGAAUCGUUCUCGGAGGAUAAGGCUCUUGGACCCUUGACCUGCCUUGGUUGAACAAACACUGAUCCUAGCCCCCAGCCGUGAAGUUGGAAAGCUCAGUUUCCGAUUACACGGCUUGGUUAAUACGCACGGCGAGAACUCUUACACGACCAGAUCUUACAUGGUCUUUUGUCUCUACAGGAUCCGACAAGGCCUUAUCGGCUCUGGGCGUCCCCAGCCGAAGUUCCCUUAGGUUCCUCGGAGGCCUUGUCAAGACGGCGUAAUGGGACAGUAGGAUAGGUUUCAACGCUAGGUGUCGUCGUGGUAAGGGAUCUCUGGGUAAAACACUUGGCGAUAUUGUAUACCAGCUAUCAACUUUGUUGAAAUAGAGGUAGUAGGAGAGUCGUUACACCGCUGGUCGAGAACCAGGCAGUAGUCAUAACUCGACCACUUAAAGUGGAAAUAGUGGGAGAAACGCUACAUCGCUGGUCGAGAACCAGGCAGUAGUCGUAUCUCGACCACUUAAAGUGGAAAUAGUGGGAGAAACGCUACAUCGCUGGUCGAGGACCAGGCAGUAGUUGUAACUCGACCAAUUAAAGUGGAAGUAGUGGGAGAGACGCUACAGCGCUGGUCGAGGACCAGGCAGUAGUCGUAACUCGACCACUUAAAGUGGAAAUAGUGGGAGAAACGCUACAUCGCUGGUCGAGGACCAGGCAGUAGUCGUAACUCGACCACUUAAAGUGGAAGUAGUGGGAGAAACGCUACAUCGCUGGUCGAGGACCAGGCAGUAGUCGUCACUCAACCACUUAAAGUGGAAGUGGUGGGAGAAACGCUACAUCGCUGGUCGAGGACCAGGCAGUAGUCGUCACUCGACCACUUAAAGUGGAAGUGGUGGGAGAAACGCUACAUCGCUGGUCGAGGACCAGGCAGUAGUCGUAACUCGACCACUAGAAGCAAAUGUACGAGAGAUUACUACGAUCAACUGGUUGAGAACCGGUGAGUAGGUGUCCCUCGAUCAUUUGGAGUCGUGGUACGAGGACCACUACGCUGCCGGUCGAAGACCAGUCGUAGCUGUUCCUCAACCAUCUGAAGUCAUGGUGCGAGGACCGCUACGAUGCCGUAGUCAUACCUCGACCAUCUGAAGUUAAGGUGCGAAAGAUUGCUACGUACUGGUGCGAGAACCAGCGUGCGAGCAGAAUUAUCUCUCGAACACCAAUGGAAGUUGCGGUGUGAGAGAUUGCUACGUAUUGGUGCGAGAACCAGUGAGCGAGCAGAAUUACCUCUCGAACACCAAUGGAAGUUGCGGUGUGAGAGAUUGCUACGUACUGGUGCGAUAACCAGUGAGCGAGCAAAAUUAUCUCUCGAACACCAAUGGAAGCUGCGGUGUGAGAGAUUGCUACGUACUGGUGCGAGAACCAGUGAGCGAGCAGAAUUAUCUCUCGAACACCAGUGGAAGUGCUAGAGUUGGUUUAUUGCAAGUGUAUCUCAUGUGGCCAGCAUGACUCACGUACCCAACUUAUAGCAUAUCCGGAUGUCCGUUCGCAAUCAUGUCGGGUGAUCAAGCCGACGACGUUCGCAAGGAAUUAUCCGUUAACAACCUUUUCUCAAGUAGUCCAGCCAUGGCCGGUGCUAUGAGAUAGGUCGUCGGUCUUUGUUGGUAGGUUGGGUGCGAUAACUCCGCAUUUGUCGAGAAUGUUCUCGAUAAUGGAGUAUAUUCGACCAUAACCUACUCGAGUGCUCAAUUGUUCCUGAAAAAUAUUUUCUAGAAGGCAAGAUAUAUAGCAGAUAAUAUCGAGUAUGUACUCAAAGAACUGCAUGGAUCUUCUAGUAUUAUCAGGAUACAAUAAGCAGAUGUAAAUAUCAGGGCAUUAUGUAAACCGUAAACAAGCAUGAUUUAUACAUAAGAGAACGGAGUGAGCCCCCAGCGUUAGACCGUAGUUGGUCUAUCGUCGGAAGUACUCGCACAACGGAUGUUGUAUAAGAAACAUGCUCUAGGUAAACAUAAUAAAUUGCUGAUAUGAUAAUGUUGUAUCAUCUGAAUAGGUACGAUAAAUUGCAUAUAAAAUAUUACGUACCUUUGUAGAUACAUGCCGGAUGUAUCUACGAAAUUAGUAGAUCAAUUUGAAAAACCAAUCUACCAAUUACCUUAUUGCGUACUCGUUCGACAUCAUAUGAUCUGACAUCUUUUGGUACGGCGCGGAGCUUGAGGCUUGGGUGAUCUCGAUAGACCAAGUUGUCGAUGACGAUGAUGGUUCUGAUCUUGUCGGAAGACAUGUUCCGGUCGGGUUAGAUCUCCACAGCCGAAGUCGUCGAGUAGUUUGCUAUUGGAGAAUCCAUCUCUUAAACCCAUCUCGUCGAAAUCCUGAAGCACCAAAAUCCCUCUACCUGGCGCGCCACUGUCGACGUUUGAUGUCGCAAUUCUGGUAUUUGCAUAGUAUGGGGAUCAUCGGUGCUAGAAUAUACGCGAGACUGAGGUGAAAGAGACGGAGACAAGGAUUUUUAUACAGGUUCGGGCCCCUGAGUUGUCAGGUAAUAACCCUACAUCCUGUUGGCCGGAGCCGGUAUUGCUUUUAUUCACCAUAAUCACACCAGUACAAUAUGUGGGGUAGCCUAUCUAACUGUUGUCGACAUGUCGGUCUGAAGGUCUGACUCGUAGUCGACAACAGGGUAGCCUUCCUCCUCGAAUCUGUGUCCGGCGAGAUCAGAGAUAGCGCUUUCGUCUCUCCUGACGGUAUCCGGAGACACCGUAGGGGAAUAGCCAUGCUAUCCCUGAAGUCGAUAUCCGGCGGCUUGUCUUAGCAUGUGUUGGCUUGUAUGUUGUGGCUUCUGUUGUUCCGUAUAUUGUGGUGGUUGUUGAUUGAGGUGGUCGUCUGUGUCGAUCGUGGUGACUGUGUUGAUCCUGUCAUGGUGGGUGUCCCCGUGUCCUCCUAGGGGGGCUUGUAUUUAUACCCAUAGGUGUCCCAUUGUCCAAGUAGAAGUAGGGAAACCAAUAUGGAUACAAUCCGAGUAGUCCUUGUCGUUUCCAUGUAAAACUUUUGUUGUCUUUCCUUAUCCGGAACUCUCUCCAUAACUGAAGUCAGUUUUCGUAUAAGACAUGGUAUGUGGUGGGUCCUGCCGAGAUUUAGUCAACUACUAUUAGGUAUGUGGUAUCCAUAACCCUGACAAUAGUAUGUUUUCUCAUUAUAUUAUUCAAAUAUAUUAAAAUGACAACAUAAUUUUAAAUUUUGCAAUAACUUUACAAAACUACUAAUAUGUAAUAUUCAUAUUGUAUUUUAUAUACGUGUUAGUUAUUAAUUAUUUUUAAUAUCAAAUUUUAGUUAUUUGUAAAUUAUAUAUAUUGACUCAUUUUUUAAUAUUUUUUUUAAUAUUGACUCUAUGCUCUUCUUCCAAUAUUAUUUAUUUUUAUUUCAGAAUUUUUAUUAUUUCUAAUUGUAUUUCUAUGUGGACUCUAAACUAAUUUUUAAUUUUGAAUUUCAGUUACUUCUAAAUUGUAUUCCUAUAUUGACUUUAAACUCUUCUUCAAAUGUUUUUCUUAAUUUUGAAUUUUAGUUAUUUGUAAAAUGUAUUUUUAUACGGACUCUAAACUCUACUUUUAAUUUUAUUAUGUUUAUUCCAAAUUUUAGUUAGUUUUAAAUUCCUAUAUGGACUCUAUACUCUACUUCUAAUAUUCCUUAUUUUUUAAUUCCAAAUUUCUAUUUUUUUCUUAAUUGUAUUUAUAUAUAGACUCUAUACUCUACUUCUAAUAUUCCUUAUUUUUAAUUCCAAAUUUCUAUUAUUUACUAAUUGUAUUUCUAUAUAGACUAUACUCUACUUCUAAUAUUUCUUAUUUUUAAUUCUGAAUUUCAGUUAUUUCCUAAUUGUAUUUCUAUAUGGACUCUAUACUCUACUUCUAAUAUUCCUUAUUUUUAAUUCUGAAUUGCUGCUAUUCCCUAAUUGUAUUUCUAUAUGUACUCUAUACUCUAGUUCUAAUAUUCUUAUUUUUAAUUCCGAAUUUCAGUUAUUUUCUAAUUGUAUUUCUAUAUGGACUCUAGUCUCCUCUUCUAAUAUUCCUUAUUUUUUAAUUCCGAAUUUCAACUAUUUUUAAAUUGUAUUUCUAUAUGGACUCUGCCUUUUCUUUUUCUCCGAUUAAUGUGAGAAUUUCUAGGCCAUGAAAGCGAACGUGGAGACUUCCUUUUCUAUUCCUUUAAUAAUAUAAUAGAAGAUAUAAGUAACAAAAAAAAUACAAUUUGACAUGAAUUAUAUCAAAACAAUUAGUAUUUGUGAUCAAACGGGCAUGCAUGUGGGGUCAGCCCACCCUAGCCCAUGGCUUGAUGGGUACAUCCUGAUUAUUAUGCACUGCUCGACAAGGAUAUGCCGUGGCGGCUCACGUGGUAAGGCCAGAACCAAGAUAUGGCCGAAGAGGAGCCAGGACGUGCACGUGUGACCCAUGAAAUAUUUUUUUCAUGAAAUUGCACGUUAGUAUAUUAGAAAAAAAAUAGAGUUUUAGUUAUACAGCGUAAUCGACCAAACUGGUCGCUGUCGGUUACAAGGAAAAAGAUUGCGGAAGGGAAAAGAGUCAAAACUAGAAGUUGUUGCUCGUAUCUAGCGGCACUACUACGAAAACCAUCUUUCGUUGCGGCCAUUUUGGGUUUUCGCUGGUGGUUUUUGGUACCGUCACAAAGCAAAGGCCAGUGAAGAUCAAGAUCUUCGCUAGCGGUUAUCGGCCGCCAGUGAUAAUUGAUUUUUGCUGGCGGUUGUGUUAUACUGGCCGCCAGCGAUAAACGAUUUUCGCUGGCGGUUGAGUUAUACCAACCGCCUGUGAAAAUAGUGGCCCAGGUUAAAAAAAAAUGACAAAGCAACACUGCUCCGUUCGCCUCCGUCAACACCGGUUCAAAUUAUUCCCAAAUCCACUCCUCGAUUCACAAAUUCACAUAAAUUUACACGAACAAUUUAUAAUAAAAAAUUUCCAUUCACAGUCAAAAUUUUCCAUUCACAAUCCACAGAAAUCCACAAAAAUGCACACAAAUCCACACAAAUCUACAGAAAUCUGAGCACCACCGCCCGUGACCUGGCGGCGUCGGCUUCACGCUCCCCACGGCGCAGCGUCGAUCGUGACGAGGUCAAGGCCGACGGUCGUGCUCCACCGCCCGAGGCCCCGCGGCCGUGCGCCCCGCGCCGCCGCCGGGGCGGAUCUGUCCUUCCCGGCGGCAGCCUCCUCCCCUCGGACAGAUCUAGGAGAGGGUAGAGGAGGGGAUGGGAGGGCGCGGCGCCACCGCUUCCUUCGUGGUCAUCAUCGUCACCGCUUCCGUCGUAGUCGCUGUUGUCGCCGUGCACAUCCGCGCCGCGCCCCUCCCGCCCGUCGUCGGCGCCGCGCCCCUCCCAGAUCUCGGUCGUCGACAAGAGGUGGAAGCUGGAGGAGCAGGGAAGGAGGAGGGGAGAGAGGUGGGGGAGGAGGAGGAGAGGGAGGUGGAUGGGUGGGUGGAGAGGAGGAGAUAGAGGAGAGAGAGGCAGUGGGUGGGUGAAAGGAAAAUAUCUCAGCACGCGCGUGAUUUUAAAUGAUGCCAAAUUUUUUUAGCGGGCUCUGUUUUUUCGCUAGCGGAAGUGUUUAGUAACCACUAGCGAAAACCGACGCGAAAACGUCGGUUUUCGCUGGCGGACAUUUAAGAGAUCCACCACGAAAAAUAGAGUAUGUUUUAUGGCGGACGUCUUAACGUGGCCACCAGAGAAAAUCGGUUUUCGCUGGCAGUCCUAUACCCCCCACCCCUCAUGUUUUUGCUGGCGAUUUUAGCAUAUAACCGCCAGUGAAAAUUAUAGUGUGACGCCAUGAAAAAUUGUUUUUCUAGUAGUGCGGGAGGGGGUGGCGGAGGAGCCUCCUAAUCUCCCAAAAGGCUCCCAAACGAGACAGGACCAGCGAGAGACCAGAGACGAACCUCCUAGUGAAUGUAUUGGAAAACCAUCGAGACCGGCGAAAGAGAAAGAAUCGAAAACCCUAGCGUUCCGCUCUUUCCAAAGCUGUAGGAAACCAAGAGGACCAGAGAGUCGAAGGCCUUACGAAGAUGCUAAGGCAGGCAAGCCCUAUCUACCGGCCACCAGACCUGAAGAGAAUCGCUACGGAGGGGCCGAGCAAGCCUAGGCAAGCCAAAGGGAGACCGGAUGUAGUGCCAAACUUAACGAGCGAACACACAGUCGAGCAUGAUGUGGCUCGCUAUUUCAUGCUUCUGAGCGCAAAAUGGGCAGGUCGAGCGUCUGUCAAUGCCGUGCUUAUGCAGAUGAUCUGCCGCCUAGCAACGCUGUUGGAACACGUGACCCAUGACAUUUGAAAUCGAAGUUGGGAAAACCAAAAAUAGGAAGAAUAAGAAGAAUAGGAACAGGAAAAAAAAGAAAGAAAAUAAAAGAUGGCAAGGAAAAAUAAGGAAGAAAUAGGAAGAACAUGAGAAAAAUUAGGAUAAUCAUUGUGAAAAAAAUAGAUGGCCAACGGAUUAGGAUCCGCUGACAUGAAGUCAGAGGGACGUGGUGACUGAUAUGUGGGCCCAACCGCUCGCGAGCCCACCUGUCAGUGACCACGUCAAGGGAGAUUUCACGUCAGAGGAUCUUCUUCUGUGGCCGACCGGGCGGAGCUUGUUCUUGGUCCUUGCUGUGCCAGGUCUGGCCAUGCACGACAUGGCCAAAUGGGACGUGUGGAAGAAAUAUGUGCAUGCACAUGAUGAAACAUGAAUGUGUGGAAUAAAUACUAUGUCGUUUUGACUGUUUGUUGACUUUUGGACGAGCUUUUCGGCACCUAUAUGAAGUUAUGAACAAUGAAACAUGCAGAUCUAUAGAGAUACUAGUGCAUAGCGUUUAUUGGAUGGUAAUUCGUUGUCCUAAAAAUAAAAUGGAACUAUACCAGUCCAGGCGACCAAACAACAGUUUUUUUACAAGUGUUUCUGGGCAGUCGUUCGGCAGUGUGACAACAAUGACGAAGAGUUGACAGUCGGCAAUGUGGCAAUUAACGAGCAACAAUCUGAGGCACUCCCUCCAUCCUAAAGAAAAUCAAAUCAUACUAAAGGGGCCGAAUGGCCUGGGCCGCCUAUUUGCCAAUCAAAGUACACCCAAGGUCCCUCAACUUGUCAUCGAGUUACAAAAUCAUCCCCCAAUCGCAAAACCAAAUAUAUGACAUCCCUCAACUUAUAAAAACCAUUCACUUUAGGUCAUUCGGUGGUUUUGACCCUGGUUUUAUCCUACAUGAGCAGAGUCAGUGUGGGACCCACAUGAGCCCACAUGUCAGGAUGCCACGUCCGCACCCUCUCUCUUCCCCCUCCUCUCCCUUCCUCCUCUCUCUCUCUCUCUUACUCUUCUCUUCUCUUCUCUGGGCAAACCGGCCAGUGGCUGAGGAGGAGGCCGCCAGGGCGAGGCGCAAGAGGAGGAGGCGACGGCGGCUGCGACGCGGGAGAAGGUGAGGGUGGCGGACGGUCGCGAAUGGCAUUGACGGCGCUGCGUCGCCUCCGCCCCGUGCGGGCAGGCGCCGCGGCAUUGGGCACAGAGGCGGAGACAGGGCCGGGUGCCGUGGAGGUGGACUCGGCGGACUUGGAGCCCCGGCCUGCUCUUGCGCCGCAUCCUCCCUCUCUCCGUGUGCUGGUUGUCCCUCCCUACCUCCUCCCUAUUCGCGUGCGCUCGCCGCCGGCCGGCGGGCAUGGGAGCAAGCGAGCCGUCCGUGGCGUCGGCAGCAAUGGUGGUGCGAUGCAUGAGGAUGGGGAGGACCAGCGUCAUCGUCACGUCACGUCCUCGUCGGCGCGAAGAUGAAGGAGACGGGGAAGAGGAAGAGGUGGUGCGCGUCCUCCUCCUUCUCGUCGAACUCGUCGCAAUCGUCGUUGUCAUUCGCCGAUACCCCGCUCCGCGCUGGCGGCUUCGCACGUUGCCACUCUGCCCACCGUCGCCCCACUUCGCCUGCUUGCUCUACCCGCCGGCUUCAUGCGGCGCCGCUCCGCCUAUUCUGCUCCCCUCUGGUCGGCUGCUCCCAUGGGAGAGAGCGGACAGAUACAGAGAAGAGAGGGGAUGAGAGAGGAGAGGAUAGAGGAAGAGAGGUUGAAAGGGGAGGGGAAGAAGAGGCUGACGUGUGGCGGUGUGGGACCCACGUGGGUAGAAGAAAAUCGAUUGGGAUUGAGACAGAGAGGGGGGGGGACCUGGAGAGACGCGCGUGGUAAAGGAAUAGGUUGGUUGUAUGUACAGAAAGUGGUUGGCAUGCUAGCUGUACGGUGGAAGCAAACCAUUAUGGCUUGCCAUUGACUUCUUUUUAAUUUCCUUGAGAAAUAGACAAAAAUUUAACCAGAUCCUCCUCAGCACCGUAGAGGGAAGGUCUCCUCGCCACCUUGCUAAUGGGCUCGUGGAUCUGGGCCGACGAUGGCCGGAUCCGUCAUCCUGCCUCGUCACAUGGUGUCAUCAGGGAUGAUGGAGACGGCGGCGGUGGAGCGAAGCAGUCGUCAAUGCUAGCUACGAAGAGGUCCAUCAUAGAUACCGGCUACGAGGUGGAGAUAAAAUCAGAAAAAAAAAAGAUGAACGGAUUGUGGAUAGCGCAUUACCUGGUCGUCGUAGGGAGAGAACCACCGGUAGCAACUGCGGCGGUGCUGGCGAUCACCGAUUAGCCAGUCGCGACACAAGGAAGAGGGGCUUGCUGUGGCAAGAGAAAAGCCGAUCCAGAUAUUUAGGAGAAGACGAUAACUAUGCGUGAUCACUGUUAUGUGGCGGUUUUGCAAUGACUACUUCCUGAAGAUUCGCUUCUCUACGUUCUGUAACAAUUUAAUGCGCAUAGAGUAAAAAAAUAACUCAAGAUGCUGACAUCGUUAGAGUACAACAAGAAACUAUCUCACUGUUAGUAAAAAAAAUUAUUUGGACUAUAGGAGUGGGGGCAGGGGGCGCAGGGGUGGGAUCGAGAUUGGUCGUUAGUGAGUAAAAUUUUAACUGCAUGCUAUAAACUUGGUGGGGGACAGGGUUGGGAGCGGCAGUGGUGGGGGGUUGAGCAGUGGGUGGGGCUGGGGGCUGUAUCACGUGCCAUUUAAUACGUAGCACCUUAAGGUGCCACAUAGUAGUUCUAUACACACACGCACACAUACACACAAAUUUUUACGUGGAAAAUCCUUACGGGAAAAAACCACGGACACCGACUAGCAAUGAUCGAUAUAGAGAAGUUGAAUACAAACGCACGACACACUGGGUUGUCGCACCCUUCUCGUGUAGCUUACAAGAGACAUGUAAAAGAGAAAUCUAUAAGUCCUAGUAGGAAAAGACUUACAAUCAUAAUAAGAAACUAAUCAAGUGUUUUAUUAUAAAACUAAUCCGAACAUAUUGCAUGCUAUUUUUUUUUUUGAAAGGAAAGCGGCAAGAGUAUUGCCGAAUAUAUUAGAAGGAGAGAAAAGUAUGGUUUACACGAUUAAUGCGGAAAAACAACUUAGAAUCAUCUCAGAACCAUAGAUCCUGGUUUGAGAAGGGAAGAGAUACACUCAUGACGGUUGGAAUUCAAAACUGCUUUCUUGAAUAUCUUGGAUGAUCUGGUGUGAAGUCCUUUGCAUGUCCGGUUCUUCUCCUCUGAAGAUCUUUGCGUUCCUUUGUAGCCAAAUGUACCACCAAGUUUUGACAAUCUGAACAUAUUGCAUGCUGAAAUUUGGAUCACAUAUUUAACAAUCUCCAUCUUAAGACGAAUUUUCCUUGUAGCAUAAAAAUCCGAAACGCUCCUGUCCAGACGCCUGAUUGUAGGGAAAACAAUCGGAUUCUCAUGCGUCUCUCCUCAAACCGUGUGAUGUUAUAAUGGAUUUUUUUACUGUUCCAAUGGGUAUUUAAUGAUGUUUCACUAGGUCAUUUUGAAAUGUUACACGGGAUGUUUUUUUGAUGUUUAAGGAGGUAUUUUGUGAUGUCCUCGGCUGAUGUUUCACUGUAUCAUUUUUUAAUGUUGCACGUGGUGUUCUUUGAAUGUUUCAGGAGGUAUUUUGUGAUGUUUCAGCUAAUGUUUCACUAGGUCAUUUUGAAGUGUUGCACACAUGGUAUUAUUUUGAUGUUUUUCUAGGUAUUUUGUGAUGUUUCACUAUGUCAUUUGGAAUGUUGCAUGUCGUGUUCUUUGGAUGUUUCAGAAGGCAUUUUGUGAUGUUUUAGAACGUAUUUCACUAGCUCAUUCGGAAUGUUGCACGUGAUGUUAUUUGAAUGUGUUAGAAGGUUUUUUGUGAUGUUUCACAAGAUACUUCACUAGCUUAUUCGGAAUGUUGUACAUGGUGUUCUUUGGAUGUUUCAGCAUGUAUUUUGUGAUGUUUCACUGGGUAUUUUACUAGCUCAUUUGAAAUUUUACACGUGGUAUUUUUUGGACAUUUCAGCAGAUGUUUCACUAGAUCAUUUAGGAUCUUGCACGUAUUGUUCUUUCAAUAUUUCAAUGUAUAUUUUGUAUUGUUUUAGAGGUCACAAAUCAAUGUCCCACUUAUAAUAAAAAUGUUUCAAUUAGUAAUAUAAUUACAUAUGUUUUAUUUCUCCAAAAUAUAAUCAUGUGAGAUCUCUUUGUAAAGAUUUAAUUGCAACAAAUUCAACGGUGCAAUUGAAUCACAAAUUGGAUAAGUAUUUCAUAAGAAAAAAUGGUUUAUAAUUUGCUAAUUAAGAGUAUGGGAGAAGAGACAAGGGGAUGGGAGAAGUUUGCAUGUACCUCACAUGUGGAAGAGAAGAAAUGACUGCGUGCAUGCAUGUGGAGGUUUCCCAGAAGAAAAGAUUGCAUGCAUGCUUAGGGGGCCCAAUUUUUUUCUCCAAAAAUCGGGCACCCGUUCCGUAGUGUCCUCCAUAAAAAUCUUCAAUCUCCAAACAACAUCAUGUAGUACCCUCGAUAGAAAAGAGAUGAACCAUACUUCAAACUUACCAUUGGUGUGAACUUAGCAUAGACACGAAACAUGAUGCACAAACUUCAAACUCGCUAUUGGAAUAAAAUCCUGAAUAUGCUGCCAUAAAUUUAUGUAACCCUAGUAGAAAUGCAAAACUCUAGUGCACAAGACAAAGUACUUGGAUCUCCCAAUAACCUACUGGUAUGUUGGGUAUGAUGGUAGCAAAAUUUGUCAGAAAAUUGGAUCACCUUGUGAUCUAGACAGGAGUGAGGCUCCCUCUCGUCGACUCAAAUAUUCUUCUUCUUUUUUCUGUGCUUUUCCUCUUAGGUAAAUACCCCACUUCAAAUAUUUACUUAUCAUAAUGAGAAUAUGUACUCAAUCUAGACGUGGUAGAUUAUCUUCAAACUCGUCAUAAGAAUUAAUCCUAAAUCUGCUCGCAGUACUACAUGAAUGCUCAUUGGUGCCGGUUCUUGAACCAACACACCUUCGUUUUUUAUUUUUCAGGUGCUAAAAAGUCAAAAAAAAUAUUUGGUAUUUUUAUUAGGCACCUAUACAAUCACACUCUCGUUCCCAAAAGUCACAUAAUUUUUGAAUCCAUAUUCAUACAAAUGUGUCAAGAAAAAUUCAAAUUCAAGACAUCUCACUUCACACAAAGUCACCUUGCCAUAUCACCUACAAACACUUCUUGUCUUGGAAACAAAUGCUAUUGUUUUGAGACCACUAUCAUUUGAACUUAUAAUCCAUAUUUAACACCAUAGAUAAGAUAAAAUGAAAAGUGUAGAAAAAUGUAGAUCUUAUCUAUAUCUACAACUUUUAUAUAGGUUUUGUGUCUAGCUGAUAUCGUUUAGAAAUUUUAAAUAUCCACUCAUGCAAAUAGGUUUGAGACAUUGUAACACAUUUUCGGACAUUCAAACAAACUUAAAUCGAAAAGUCAUCAACUACGAAGUUGUAGAUAUCGUCGAGCUCUACAAAUUUGAUAUAAACUUUAUCUUCAUCCGACUUUAUAUGAAAAAGAUAGAUAAAAAAAUACACAUAUAUAUGAGUUGUGUCAUCAUAGGUGCUGGUUUUAAUUGUAAACCAGCCGGCACAUAUGCGAUACACAUAUGUGCCGGUUCAUAAAAACCGUUACAUAUGAUACUGCCGUAGUUAUAGGUGCGAGUUUAUUAUAAGAACCAAUAUCUAUGUGAUGUUCAUAGGUAUCGGUUUAUUAUGAGAACCAGCAUAUAUGAUUUUUGAGGAAUAUUGGUACCGGAUUUUAUUAUAAACAUGUACCAACUAACUCAGUCAAUGAGUUGUUAUAGGUACCGGUUCUUAAUUUUACACUGAAAUAUGAUGGAAAAAAUGUUAUAGGUGUCGGUUUAAAGCAAAUCGGCAUGUAUAAGGUUAAGGUUGGUCUCUAUGGGGGUGUUUUGGAGUAGCUGUGUGGUAUAAAUUUGCUUGAACCAAAGCAGAAACACGAUAUACUCUGGGUGCAAUUCCUGUGUGCACAAAGCGUUGAUCAAGGAGUCUCCUGGUACAUAAGCUUGGGUGGACUUAGCAGUUUCAACGUGAAAUUGAAUUGGCAUGAUCAGUCAGAGCCGAUGCUUUACUCUGCACGUGCUGCUCGUCGCGAUUGCUGCUCGUCAAAUCGGAGUCGAUCAGUCGACUCCUUGUCGGCGUUUGAUGCGAAGCCAAAUCUCGCUAAACAAUUGACGACGAUGAUGAAGACGGCCGGCGGCCCGGAUGGGCCUAUUUGGUAUGGGAUUGGUCCAAAUCUAAAAUUUAGUUCUAGAGUUAUGUUUGGAUAAAGCCGUAGAGCAAUUUAAAUCCAACUCUAUCUUUCUUUCUAGUUUAUUUUGUGAAAUUAUUUUACUCAGUUUCGUUUUUAUUUUAGGUGGAGGUGAAACUGUUUAGUUAGGCUCUAACUCUAGUAGAGGUGGAGCUGAAAUUGUGCCAAAUAGACCCUUAGUAUAUCCAUCUCUAAAGUUCUAAUACCAUUUAUUAUAAAAAUAGAUGCACGACUAAUAUAUGACUUUUAUGUGAAAAACUCUUACCAGAAAAGCCUACAUGCAUAGAUCGGCAAUGAUUAAUAUAGAGGAGUUGGGUACAAACGUAUAGAAUACAUUGGGUUGUCGCAUACUUCUUGUGAGGUUUACAAGAGAUAUAUAAAGAAAAAUUCUAAGAGUCUUAGUAGAAGAAGAUUUAGAGACAUAUUAGAAAAUUAACCCUGAUAGUCAAGUUUUAUAUAUUAGAAAACUAAUCCAAAUAUGUUUCAUGCCAAAAUUUGUAGUAGAAGUAUCAUAUAUGUAACAUAUUUAACUAUACCUGCGGUAUAGCACUAUAGAACGUGUCUUUGCCAGGACACUUCGAUUACUUGGUAAUUUGCCAAAACAUUCCAUGAUCAUUAUUUCAACAUUUUACUCAUUUGGGCAGAUAAAAUUUUAAAAAGGUGCUUUUACGCCCUUUCGCAAAUUGAAAAUUUUGGAAUUUCAGCGCCUCACUUCCUAAAAGGACAUCUUUAAUUAGAAAAAAAAAUUUAAAUCUGAAAAAAAUCAAAAUAUAUUUUUAACUUUUUAAGUAUUUUAGUUUUCCAUGGACCCCGUAAACAUUUUCUUUAUUUUUGCAAUUUGGAUGUUUUUUAAUUUAAAAAAUGUUUAAGUUUACCAAAAAAUUAUUCAAAUUUCAAUUCUUUGUCCGAUAUUUUUUAGAAAAAUUCUAUCAAUCACCUCCAAAAUGUUUGGAGAUUUUCUGCAAUUUAGUAAAAGAUAAAACCAGGCUGAACAUCCAACUUGGCAUGAGGUAAUUUAAAACGUCAUCUCUGUAAUUGUAUCUAUCUAGUAGUUGAGCUGAAAAAUGUUAAAAUAUUAAAAUUAUGGUCAUUUUAGAAAACUACCAUGAAAGUGUCUCGUAGAAAAUACAUUAUUGUAUAAAAAUAACAAAUACAUACAUAUCUAAUAAUAUUUCGUCGAGCAUGUUAUGCCUUUUCGUACGAAAUAGUAUAUGUGCCAUGGAAAAACACGUGAGCAUUUGAGUACUUCAGACUUUCACUCGAAGAGAAAAUGUAUCAAAUGUUAAUUAAUUGUAUAUGUACGUACAUCCUAAUUUAAAAAAGUACAUGUCCUAUAUUGUAUAUUCAAGGUUUCAUUUUAUAAGAAGCAAAGGCUCUAAGAAUCUCCCACGAAUAAAAAAGAAGGCGCUAAGAAUCAAAUUUGGACGGCCAUAUAGUUAAUUAAUUAGCUUGCAGUUUGCCACAACCAGUAUAUAUAAGAAUUUAGGUGUUGUACAUACGUACCUUGAUGAUGUAGAUUUGCACCGAACUGAAAAUGACGUUAGUACGCAUGCAUUUUCUCCUAGAGUGUACCGGCUGGGCGGCUGGCAUUUAUAUAUACUAUGUAAAACUCCGCGUGUUGCUACUGAGUUAGCAUAAUAACAAGUGAAAACAAUGUGUAAGAUAGCUAGCUAGACAAUACAAGCUUACAUAAAUUGAUGCAUGUGAUUUAUGAUAAAUUAAAAUUAAAUAGUGUAUAGAAUGAUGAUUUAAAUGAUAAAUUAAAUUUAAAUAGUGUAUAGAAUGAUGAUUUAAAUGUAAAAGUAAAGGUGAUAUGGCUUUAUGAGAGAAGAAAAGGAGAGAGAUAUUUUGGACCAUAGAUUAUCUAAGACUAAAAAUAAUUGAUGUGAUAUGGCUUAAUGAGAGAAGAGAGAAAUAACAUUAACUAAGUGAGAAUGAACUAUAUAUAGAAUAUUAUAAAAAAGGAUGAAGAGAUAAAUUGAAAUAAUAUUUGAAUUAUGUGGGAUGAUGAUUUAACAUGCUUACAUUUUAAAAACUCUAAAAUUCAAUAAAUCAUAAAAUUACAAAUAAUAUAGCAUGCUUCAUAAUGUUUAAAUGUAAUAAUUAUUAUUGAAUGAUGAUGUAGCAUAUUGUUAGAGGAUGAUGAUGUUGCAUCUUUUUAUUUCAACUACUCCCACAUUCCUUUAUAUAUAUUGUAAAAUUAACUGGGGCACUAUGGUGUCCAGGCACCAAGAUUUAAAUUGAGUACAUAUAUUCAAUUUAAAUGAGUAUGAAUUUUUUUAAAAAAAUGUUUAGAUAUGAUGGUUGUAAGGUGGUUUUCAGUCGGUUCAUCUGUAACCGUGAUCACCAUCUAAUAGGGCGCUGCCAUGUGCAAAGGGAAAGCUGGGGGACGGUAAGUCUGGUUCGGCUCCCACCGCCUCUAGCCAUCGACUUCAUCCAGUGAAUGACAGGUAGGCCUCUAUGGUGACUGAGGUUGGUUUGGCCCUACUUUAGAUCGGUUUCAACUGUCAUGUGAGCCCUCCAAUCUUUUUACUCACGUAUGAUUGACCGGAGGUUCAUUUUAUGGCAUGACAUAUGUAUUUUUAUUCAUAAAUGACCUGCAUAAAUAUAUUUAUCAAAACUAGUGAAAAUGGUUAGCAAUAAACUCCUACCAUCAAGUUUUGAUAUAAUAUUUUAUAUUCUUUAUACAGGAGUUGACGGUUAAAGUUUACACUUAAUGACCGUCAACAAUAAGCGAUACCGUGGCAGUUUCGCGUAGCCGCGUGCUAACCUCGGUAUACCGGUAUUGCACUCCUACCCCGCGAUACCGAUGGAAUAUUUCUUCCAAACAAAUUUCAACCGGUAUAUUUCUUUCAAAAAAAAUCAAUAUCAGUAUUCAUGCAAUUUUUGUUCAAAGCACUACUUUCGCUACAGUACAAUCUCUAAGGAACAGCCCCUACAUCAAGUGCCACUGUACUAUUGUCGUAUACUAUUUCUUUCUUUUCCACCGUUGACGUUUUAGAACGGAGGGAGUAUGUAUAUAUCGUCUGUACAUUAGAUUUGCUAUUUUGGUACUUUCAGUGUCCUUUUUCUGAGUACUAGCUGAAUAAUUUUGUGUUCGCUAUUGGAGGGUACACUAAGUUGAAAAAAGAAUUUAAAAUAGUUUUGUAAGAUGAUUUAAAAUAUAAGUAUUUAUAUGAUUAUUAACAAAACUAAGGCAGAGUGAAAAAAAUAUCUUUUAGUGGUUAAAUUUUAAAUUGUUUAUAUAUCCCUUUCAAGCAUCGGAUGAAAAUGUACAGAACGAUUUUUGUGCACUGGACUGAGUGUCCCAUAAAUACUUAUAUUGUGGCAUAAAUUUUUGAAUACUCAAAAUAUUUUGAAACAAAAGAAGUAUAUGGAAAGUGUGUACCAUUAAUCCAAUCUUUCAUAUGACUGUCAACGCCGUAAAUAUAUCUGUAAUAUUACUCUCAGUACAGUUAAUUAGCAUAUGGCCCUGAAAUUUUUCGGCCGAACCCGGCAAUUUUAUAUUUAUAUAUACCCUUGCCUUGAGCUUAGGCAUCAUGUAGCCUCGCCGCUCAAGCAUCGCUAACUCAGUUAUAGCUGUCUAACAAAGCAAAUUAGCUUUCGCUGAGCUUUGUGUUGCUUUUGGUCUCCUAGAUAGGUUUGUGAAGCAUGAAGCUCACGGUAGCAAUUGUCUGUGCCAUGGCGACCGCGCUUCUCGCCGCCGCCCCGUCGUCGGCGGAGGCCGGCGACGGCGAGCUGAAGGUGGGCUACUACGACAACAAAUGCAGCGGCGUCGAGGACAUCGUCAGGUCGCACGUCAUCAAGGCUAUCAUACAGGACCGCGGCAUAGGCGGCUCCCUCAUCCGUCUCAUCUUCCAUGAUUGUUUUGUCAGGGUAUAUUUUGUUUCUUCCUCCGUUUAAUAAUGUAAGUCAUUCUAUCAUUUCUCACAUUCAUAUUAAUGUUAAUGAAUCUAGAUAUAUACAUUUCCUAUCUAGAUUCAUUAACAUCAAUAUGAAUAUGGGAAAUGAUAGAAUGACUUACAUUGUGUAACGGAGUGAGUACAUAUCGGUACUUCAUCUAUUUCAUAUUAUAAAUUGUUUCGGGUUUUAAAUGGAUUUAUGAGUGAAUUCAUUUAUAUUACCUCUAUUUCUCAUUAUAAGUCAUUCUAUUUUUUUUCCUAGUCAAACUUUCAAUUUAUAGAAAAAUAUAGUAACUUUUUCAGCACAAAGAAAAUAUUAUAUUAUCAAAAUGUAUUAAAUGUUAAUCUUAAUGAUAUUAAUUUGGUGUUGUAAAUGUUGCUAAAAUUUUUCAUAAACUUAAUCAAACUUAAAAAGGUUUGAAAAAAAAUUAAAAUGAGUUAUAAUACUCUCUCCAUCAUAUUCCAAAUCUAAAAAAUUUACUUUUGAUAGGCAUAUUUCAAUCCAACCACCUAUUUUUUUAAUGACUUUCUUGGAUUUCAUGGGGGUGGCUAAUUGGCGCGCGCCCGCCUGUUGGCCCCGGCCCGGAAGCCCAUCAGGCUUCUUUUUUUCUUUUUUUUCGCAAGAUUUUUUUGCGAUUUUUUUGCCUUUUUCUUUUAUCUUUUUUUCGCUUUUGUCUUAUUACUUUUUUAAUCUUUAGCACACAUAUUUUUUCAAAAAAUGUUUUGAGUUGAAAAUUUUUAAAUCUUUAACUUGAAAAUUUUAAAUUUUGAUUUGAAAGUUAUCAAAUCUUAAGUUGAAAGUUUUCGAAUAUGAGUUGAAAGUUUUUAAUCUCAAGUUGAAAACUUUUAAAUCUGAGUUGAAAGUUUUCAAAUCAGAGUUGAAAGUUUUCAAGUCGAAGUUGAAAGUUUUCAAAUCUGGGUUGAAAAUUUUUCAAAUUUAAGAUGAAAAGUUGAAAGUUCCAAAAUUUGACUUUAAAAAAUUUAAAUUUUGAGUUAAAAGUUUUUAAAUCUGGGUUGAAAAUUUUCAAAUCUAGAUUGAAAGUUUCAAAUUUUGAGUGGAAAGUUUUUAAAUUUGAGAUGAAAGUUUUCAAAUAUGGAUUGAAAACGUUUCAAAUUUGAAUUGAAAGUAUUCAAAUAUCAGUUAAAAGUUUAAAAUUUUGAGUUCAAAGUAAUAACACAAAAAUAGAAAAUAACUAAAAAAACAAAACGUGAAAAAAAAGGGAAAAAGAUGUGGGCCUAACAGAAAAAACACAAACGACGAGUCCUUUCUCAAUAAAAAAAGUGCGCGCUAUUUGCUUAACUCGCGCAGCUUUUCCGGAAUUUAAUGCGUGACUCUCCAUUCUUCCACGCAAUAUUGGCUAUAUAGGCAUCGAGAAAUGUAAAUAUAUUAAUAAAUCGCUUGUUUACGAGAAAUAACUAGUAGCAUAUUUAAAUGGAUGAUAAGUAAAAUUACUUAUCUUUGAUCGGUGUAUUAAGAUAAAAUAUAACUAUAAAAAGUAAUGAAGGGAGUACGAAACAGAGGACCAAAACAACUUAUAUAGUGAAAAGGAGUAGUAGUUUUGAAGCACUAAGGAGGUACUAGUAGCUUUGAAGCACUUGGGACUAAUGAGUGGUUGCACAAUGCAUGCAUGCAUGCAUGAGUAUUGCAGGGUUGCGAUGGUUCCGUCCUCCUUAACGCGUCCGACGAGAACCCUCGUCCUGAGACGGCAGCGCCGGUGAGCAUCGGGCUGGAAGGAUUCGACAUCCUGGAGGAGAUCAAGGCCGAUCUCGAGAGGAGGUGCCCCGGCGUGGUCUCCUGCGCCGACAUCCUCAUCUUCGCCGCCCGCGACGCCAGCAGCAUCCUCAGCAACGGCCGCGUCCGCUUCGACGUCCCCGCGGGCCGCCUCGACGGCGUCGUCUCCUCCGCCUACGAGGCCCAGGCGGAGCUCCCGGAUCCCACCUUCACCAUCCGGCAGCUCAUCGACAACUUCGCCCGCAAGAACUUCACCGUCGAGGAGCUCGUCGUCCUCUCCGGCGCGCACUCCGUCGGCGACGGCCACUGCUCCUCCUUCACCGCCCGCCUCGCCGCGCCGCCCGACCAGAUCACCCCGUCCUACCGCAACCUGCUCAACUACAGGUGCUCCCGCGGCGGCGGCGCCGACCCUGCGGUGGUGAACAACGCCCGCGACGAGGACCUCGCCACCGUGGCGAGGUUCAUGCCGGCGUUCGUCGGCAAGCUGCGGCCGGUCAGCGCCCUGGACAACACCUACUACCGCAACAACCUCGACAAGGUGGUCAACUUCAACUCGGACUGGCAGCUGCUGACGCAGGACGAGGCGCGCGGCCACGUCCGCGAGUACGCCGACAACGCCGCCCUCUGGGACCACGACUUCGCCGCCUCGCUGCUCAAGCUCAGCAAGCUGCCCAUGCCGGUGGGGAGCAAGGGGGAGAUCAGGAACAAGUGCGGCGCCAUCAACCACAGCAAGAGCUAAUUCGGCCACUUAUGCAGGGGGUUACGUACAUGCAUGCAGACGAUGUGGUCGUAGCCAUAUGUUUUCUUGUUAUAUCUCAUCGUUCUAAAAUACAGAAAACCUUGUACUCGAAAAAAAAAGACUACUCCAGUAUAAUAUAAAGUAUUUGUAUUUGUGGUUACCCAUAUAUUUACCUGUUAUGAAUUGUUACUACCUUCGUCCCUGAUUUUGCAUCUGUUAGUGCAUAGACUAAAUCCCAUACAUAUUUAGUACUCGUGGAUUGUCAUGUAACUGGGCUGAAUCGGUAUACAUAUUGAGCCCAUGGCUAGCUAGGCUCAAUCCGCUGCGAUAAGCCAAUCAUUCAAGCCGUUACAAAAGGAGCAGAUCCAACAGAUGGGAGGAUCGAACAAAAUAGAUGAAACCUGAGUUCUUCCUUCCGAUGCUCUCUCUUCUUCAACCUCUGUAUCUCUCUUCUCUUCAAUCCCUGGCUAUCUCUUCUUCUCCAAUCUACUGCUAAUUCUCAGUCUUGAUUCCAUUUCUCCCAUUUGUAUCCCCAAAUACUCGUGUAUCAAGUGUUGGAGGAAGAAUUGUGUGCUUGUGCUGGAAUUCACUAAAUCACAUAGAGUGGGUUCGUAACAAUAUGGUAUUAAAGCCAACAAUCCAUGGGUUCCAAGCCAGGAGAUGAGAUGGAUGACAUACGUGGCAGCCGCGACUUCCAUAGACUGGAUCUAAGAAUUUGGGGUGGUUGCACUUGAGGCGUCUAAGAACACACAUGAACAUCUAAGAACACAAGAACACAACAUGAAUAUCUAAGAACACACAUGAACAUCAAGAACACAAGAUGAACACACAUAAACAAACCAGCAUCUAUAGUAUAGUUGUCGGACUUUUUUCAAAAUCGGCACUUAUAAAUACUUAAAGGUGCCAAUUUUUCCCUUUAGCGCCCCCCGCGGGCGCUCCGGUGGGUGGGAAAAGCAUAAUAGGUGCCGGUUUUAGUUAUUCCGGCACCUAUAAUACUGACUUUUAUGUGUCUUUUUGUAGUACUGAUUUGCAGUUGACAUGAUUAUCAUCGAACACUUAUGGGAGAAAAAAAUAAAUUUGUUCUAGCCAAAUCAAUAGAGAGUGCAGAUGAGAACUUUUGAAAAAUGGGGUCCAAAAACAUGUUGAAACACAUUUGUUUAGAUCCAUGCAUGUACAUGGAAAUUUUCGGGGUUGCUAGUCUAUUGGUCGCUCGCUUUGCACCUGCCAAUUGAUAGGCCCAGUAGUUGACGUGAUCUGACACACGGCUGGGAUGAACGUAGGUUAGCUGCUUCCCAACCAGUCAACAGGACCUCUUAAACAAAAGGGAAGUCAAAUAAGAAAAUGUUUAAUUAAUCUAGCCUGGUUCGGAUGCUAGAUAACAGUAAUGGAGUGAUUAAAUAUUGAUGAGACCACUAUAAUCUCGAUUAUAUUUGAGCUAGCGAACAUGCCUGCUAUAGUUCCCUCAAAAUCCUAAAGAUAUGUAUGGCGUUAGCGUCCUUUCCAGUGGAUACGCUUAACACAAGCUUUUGACGUGAAAGUUAAUUAAUUUACUACUGUACAUGGAAAGAAAUUCUACAAAUACAUCGCUCUUAGGUAACAGCAUUUGAAUUGAAAUAAAGAUACAUGUUGUCAAAUCGACCAAAUAAACUGACCUCCUUCAUAGGGGCGGAACUAGCCACCGGGCGGCUGCUUGGGCUCGUUAGCGAAAACUACACAAAAUUUUAAUAUUAAUGAGUAAAUAGAUGAUGAAAUUUCUAUAGCAAAUAUCAGUUAUAUUGAAAUUUGUCUGGGCUCAAAAAUCUUUCUAGCUCCGCCAUGCAUCCUUCCAUCAAAUACUGUGCUUCGGUUGACACAUGCAUGAUGCAUCUGGACGGCCAAUUAAUUUACUCUAUAUAGCUCCAGCCGAAUUUAAAUUAAGUUCACCGUCACAACGCCAGGUAUGGAUCGAUGUCAACGCCUACACGUUUUAUCAGUUACUAGCUGUUUUGCUCCCCAUGUUGUUAGACAACAAGAACUGGCAAAUAACUAUUCUGAUGAUUGCUCUCCAAAUAUUCCUCAAAUCUCUUAUUUAAUCAAUCUCCUCAUUCAAAAGGAGUAGCUCAAUUAUCAAUGAUCAAUUUGCACAUCCAUUUGUACCUAUAAAUACAUCGAAUGUUUGCCUGUCACAUCAUCAAACAUCAACCAAUCCUUUGAGGUAGCGAUCACUACACAUAUAUUCAUUCGGUUUCAGGCGUUUCUUUGCUGUCUCCUAGUGAACAACCUUGUCAGAAUUCAGAAUGUUCAGCAGGGGGAUGAAGCUAAUUCUCAUGGUAGCCUUCCAGGCUAUGAGCCUCAUCUCCAUAUCAACUGCAAGUCUGCAGUACAAUUUCUACGGCUCGUCGUGCCCAAAUGCCGAGCAGACGAUCAGCAAUGUCGUCUACGGCUUGAUCGAUGCUGACCCUUCCAUGGCCCCGGCGCUGCUGCGUUUGCAUUUCCAUGAUUGCUUUGUCAUGGUAAUGUAAUUGCUAACCACAAGUUAAUUUAGUUUUUCAACUAUGAAUUGAUAGCAGUUUUAAUUUCUCACAAGAUAUAUUACUGCAAGCAAAGCUUAGAUAUUGAUGGUUAAUUACUUCAUUUUGUCCCCAAAAAAAAUGUAAACGAAGUUUUUUUUUUUUUGUUUUUUGAUCAUGCAGGGUUGUGAUGCGUCCAUCCUUCUUGAUCCCACGAAGGCAAACGGCUCGCCGGAGAAGACAGCGAUCCCGCUCCGCGGGUACGACGCCGUGAACAAGAUCAAGGCGGCCGUCGAGGCCGUCUGCCCCGGCAAGGUCUCCUGCGCCGACAUCCUCGCCUUCGCCGCCCGCGACUCGGUGGCCAAGUCCGGCGGCUUCGUCUACCCGGUCCCCGCCGGCAGCCGCGACGGCAACGUGUCGUCCGCCUUCUCCGUCUUCUCCAGCAUCCCGUCGCCGUUCUUCGACGCCGGGGAGCUCGUCCAGAGCUUCGCCGCCAAGGGGCUCACCGUCGACGACCUGGUGGCGCUCUCGGGUGCGCACUCCAUCGGCACCGCGCACUGCUCCGGGUUCAAGAACCGGCUGUACCCGACGGUGGACGCGUCCCUGGACGCGAGCUACGCGGCGGCGCUGAGGGCGGCGUGCCCUGACGGCAGCGCCGCCGACGACGGCGUGGUGAACAACAGCCCCGUGUCGCCGGCGACGCUGGGCAACCAGUACUUCAAGAACGCGCUCGCCGGGCGGGUGCUGUUCACGUCGGACGCGGCGCUGCUGACCGGCCAGAACGACACGGCGGAGAAGGUCAGGGAGAACGCCGGCGACCUGACCGCGUGGAUGGCGCGGUUUGCGGCGUCGAUGGUGAAGAUGGGCGGCAUCGAGGUGCUCACCGGGGCGCGGGGGGAGGUCAGGAGGUUCUGCAACGUCACCAACAGCUAAAAAGCUAUACUGGCUGGCUCGAGUGAAGAACGCACUUGUGCCAUUGGUGUGCGUGCCGUUUUUGCUUAGUGGCAAGUUUGCACCUUGUGCUAAUUAAACGUUUUUGUUCUCCAAUCUACACCAUGCACACACACCAUUCAUGUUGCAAUUUUUUAUUGCCACCUUGUUCUAUAAGAGGAGGAAAAUUAACCACCUUAAUUUGUUAUUCACUCUGGUUAUAGUAUUUUGGUUGUAUGGCUCAUGUAAAAGAUUUGGGGCUUUUUUUUUUAGAAUUACACAGUGCAAUGUAGAUACUCACAACGCACACGCACUCACAUCUAUGAAUACACGCACGCAAACCCUACCCCUAUAAGCAUCUUCGAAAACUGGGCCGGCAAAUCCUUGAGAUUGACGAAGUCACCAUAGGCACCUCGUUGUCGACGGAUAUGUCGCCUACCACUAAAAGCACAACGCCGUUAUAUCUUAGAAAAUCCGCUCCCAUGGGGAGUCGAACCCAAGACCUCAGGUGCUACUGAGGCUCUUGUAACCACUAAGCGAAAACGCCGUUAUUAUUAUUAUUUUUGGAGAAUUUGUGAUUUGGAUCUGAGAUUUGUGUGUGAUGUGAAUAUGUGAUGCAUUUGUGAUGAAUUUUGUAGAAGUUGUGAUGUAAUUUUUUUUAAGAUUUUAUGAUGUAUUUGGAGAUGAUCGAUUUGAGGAUUUGGAGGCAAUUCGGGGAUGAUUGAUUUGGGAUUUUUGGGAUGGGAUGGAGUGAAAUCAAUAUAUUAAAAACAACAAUGAAGAAAAGAAAAGAAUAAAGGAGCAACUGAAUCUAACCUCUUUAGUCCCGGUUGGUAACACCAAUCGGGACUAAAGAUAGCCGGGACUAAAGAUAGCGAUCUUUAGUCCCGGAUUCGUAGUCCCGGUUAAAAAAUCAGGUCUACAAAAGGUUACGAAUCAGGACUAAAAAGCACUUCUCUACUAGUGUGCAAAUGUGUGAGCCCCCAUUGACCAAGUGUAGGAGCAAACCCUCUAAAAGUGUCCAGCCUCUCUGGCCUUGAUCAGUCAAUUGAUCGACAUCGGUUUGUCGUUUCGCAAAUGGUAGAAAUGAUGAUGGGUUUUUGAUACUGAAUUGAGUCUCUGAGCGAAUUCUGAUGAGUAGGAAAAGCAUCUUCAUAAUGAAGGUCCUAAAUCUCGUAUGUGAAUUCCUGUUGAUAAAGAAAAUGAUGGUUCACUUGGAACUAUACUUGUGCAAAAGAAUCCUAUUCUUUUUUUUUGGUGCCCUUAUGGUGUAUAUGUUGUGAUAGUAAACAAAGAAAGGAGGUGUUUUGUUUUCGGAAAUGGUGGAAAAGGAACUUUUGCUCAUCUCAAGUUCCCUUUCUAGCUGGCCAUUUUGCGGAGGGGGAAAAACCAACUUUCCCUGUAAAACAGUGUGCUUUGAUCCUUCUAUGUUAUUCGUUUUGUUCGUGAAAUUCUUUCGAGGUUGCUGACAUUUUUGUGUUUUCCACAUGGAACAAAGAUCUGCCACCAAGAAUACAGCAGGCCAACAUGCAUCUUUCUGGGUGUUCAAGCAGGAUUGUCCUUGUUGACAUCAGAAUUGACGAUGGUAUUUUCAGCCUCUUCUCUUUUCGAUAUUUAAUAUGAGAUCUGAGCCUGAGAAAUUUCAGCCAUAAAUGCUGCAUGUUUUGCACAUGCUUUGUUCUGAUUGUAAUAUCUGGCAAUUUCAGAUUUUUGGGAUAGCACUUGGAUUCAAUCUUCUAUUUGAAUAUGAUGAUCUCAUCACUGGGAUAUGUUUUGCAACCGUUGUUCCUAAUCUGCUACCAUAUGCUAUAUCACACCUGGUAAAGAAGAAGAUUAUCUCAUAUAGAAAACUUCAAACCUAUAUUGUAAUCUGAUUUGGAGUUAAUAUUUGUCAAUUACUUUCAUAUACCUAUUCUAGGGAAAGAAGAUGGUGGGGACAUUAAAUGCUUGCAUUGCAGGCUUUGCGCUUCUUUGCUACGUUCUUGGUUUAUUGGUCAGCCAACCACAAAUUCCUCUGACAACGAAUGUAAUUUUCCCCAAGCUCAGUGGUGAAAGUGCUUAUUCUCUGAUGGCUCUUCUUGGUGCAAACGUAAUGGCACACAACUUUUACAUCCAUUCAUCAGUUGUUCAGGUAAAUUAUGAUGCUUCUUUGUGCCCAUUACAUAGUUAGAAUUAUAUUUGAUUUGAUGCAUUUGGGGUGAGGGGGGUUUGGGCAUUUGGUGGACAAUGGUCAAUGGCAUGCCACAAUUAUUUACACCACACAAUGACACAUGUUGCUAGCUUUGCUAGUGUUUCGAACAGUUCAGAAAUUCCAAACUGAUAGCAAGGGUCACUAUAUUAGACUAGUUAUACCAGUCUAAUAUCGGAUGUAGUGGAGAAUGUUUUUGUUCUAAUAGAUCCAGUGGUUUGUGGGUACGCUGUAUCCAACUGAAAAAGAUAUGGUUUGUCCUAUUUCAAUUGUUUGCGCAGAGUUGAAGUGAUGUUCAUUGACUUAAUUUCAAAACACCAAGAUACAUCUUCUAGCGAAUUGCAGCAUUAUGUUAGGCAUGCUCAUCGUUAGUUAGUGAAAGAAUUUGUUCUCACUUAAUCCAGUUUGGAGCUUAACUAACAAUUAUGGCCAAUGAAACUAUAGUAUUUAAUAAGCUAUUGUGCCACAUGCGGAAUACUAUUUCUGAUUGACAAGCACAAAUCUAGAAUGUUCCUUGAGUAAAUGUUUGUUCCCUAAAACUGUGGCCUAUUUCUAUUUGUUUUCUUUUUUACUUUCGCGUGUACAUAUUUUGGUUCACUAAUGGUAAGUGUCUAGUGUUCAUGAGGUCUUUGCCUUAGGUUUGCUAGUAUAUGAUAUAUAUAUUACCUAAAGUGUAUAAAAAUGGAUAGCAUUAGUGAGUUUGACAGCAAAACCAGCUACAUUUCAUUGCCCUUUGUGUCUUAUGCUUUUGGUUGUCUUUUUUUUUCAGCUUGUAUCCAUGUUUGCUAAUCAAAUAAUCUCUUUUCAGGGUCAGAAAAGAUCUGCCUUUGCUGUUGGUGCCUUAUUUCAUGAUCACUUGUUUUCAGUAUUAUUUAUUUUUACUGGAAUUUUUCUGGUGAAUCAUGUUCUAAUGAACUCUGCAGCAGCUGAUUCCACUAACACCCUUCUUCUCACCUUCCAAGAUGUUGUAGAACUAAUGAACCAGGUUAGUACUAUAGUUCCUACUACUUCACCCUGUGAUAUGCUAAGCUGGUGCUGAAGAAAUCUUGUUUCAGUAGCAAUCCUAAAGUGAUAUACACUACCUAACAUUUAUCAUUUUGCAGAUAUUUGUAAACCCUAUGGCUCCAACUAUAUUUCUAGUGGUUCUUCUCUUCUCUAGCCACAUCAUCUCGUUGACAUCUGCUAUUGGUAGCCAAGUGAUUUCGCAGCAUUUGUUUGGCAUUAAUCUUCCUCUCUCUGGACAUCAUCUGAUACUGAAGGCUUUUGCCAUAGUUCCUGCUCUGUACUGUGCUAAGGUUGCAGGUGCUGAAGGAAUAUACCAAUUACUGAUAAUCUGCCAGAUUAUCCAGGCCAUGCUCCUUCCAUCAUCAGUCGUGCCACUCUUCCGUGUUGCCUCAUCAAGAUUGAUAAUGGGUGCCCACAGAGUGUCUUUGCAUCUGGAGAUAUUAACAUUUCUUGCAUUUCUCCUCAUGCUGUUUUCGAAUAUCAUCUUUAUGGCAGAAAUGCUGUUUGGUGACAGUGGUUGGCUGAACACUCUGAAAGGGAAUACUGGAAGCCCUGUGGUGUUUCCAUCUACGGUUCUCAUCACGGUGGCUUGUGUCUCUGUUGCAUUUUCACUCUACAUGGCUGUUACACCACUGAAAUCAGGAAGCCAUGAAGCUGAAUUGCAGCAGGAAUGGUCUGUGCCUUCUCAGAAAGAGCUCUUGAAUACUACUCAAGACAGAGAAGAGACUUGUGCGGGCAAUGUUACCUAUGAGGAAGAUCAGAGAUCUGAUGUUGUCCCUUCUCCUAGGAUUCAGCCUGUGGAUUGUCUGAAAUCAGCUCUGGACUACAUUGAUAGUUCGGACACAGCUAUAGAAUCUGAUCAUGAUUCUCAACAUUCCACUGCUCAUACAUCUACCGCUCCUGAAUCCUGUCACUCUCCAUCAUUCAUUCCUGAAGAGUCAAAAUCAGUUGUUGCUGUUGACUGGCCAGAGCCUCUGGAGCCAAUUUCUAAUGCUAUUGUGGCUGAGGAAAGUACAGUAGAGAGUGUGGACUCCAAGAGCACAGGCGAAAGGGAUAUUGAAGUAGAACCAGCUCUUUUGAUGGACAAUGAUAAGGAGGCUCCAAAUAUUCUAGAGUCUGACAACAAGCCACUUGGAGGCAAUAAUCCUUCCUGUGCAUCGGAUGAUGGCCCACCAUCUCUUACCUUCAGCAGGGGGAAAGGCUCAGAUGCAGGCAAUGGCAGCGGGAGUCUCUCGAGGUUAUCUGGUUUGGGCCGUGCAGCAAGGAGGCAACUAGCAGCCAUACUUGAUGAGUUCUGGGGGCAUCUCUUUGAUUACCAUGGGAAACUCACUCAAGAAGCUAGCUCUAAAAGGUUUGACAUCUUGCUUGGGCUAGACGUAAGAACACCUAGCUCAACUGUAAGAGCAGACAGUCAAGCUAAUGAAAUCCCGAAGAGUCCCAUGGUACGAGACAAUUUACAAGGGUCUGCCUUCUUGGGAAGUUCAAGGGAUCUGAUGUCUACUAAGAAUGAGAUGUCGAAUUUGGAUCUGACAUAUGGGCUUCAGAUGGGCAAUAACAUUGGGUCAUCAGCCUGGUCUCAGGGCAUGCAGUUACCAAGUACCCAACUGCAGAGUUCAAGCAACAGCUUACUCGAUCAAGGUGCAAGAUUAAAUUCAAAUUUUAGCACGCCAUCAUACGCAGACAACAACCAAUUCUACCAACCUGCAACGAUUCAUGGGUAUCAGCUCGCAUCAUACCUAAAACAGAUGAAUGCUAAUCGAAAUCCUUACUCUAGCAUGCCAUUGGACCCACAGCGACUUCCAAAAUCUUCUGCAUCGGCUGUGCCAACCUAUGUCGAUUCUGUCAUGCAUGCUCGUAACCAGAACUUGCUUGCUUCAUUGGGAGCUACUCCUUCACAGAUCGCAGCAACAUCCCGGAUAGGUACUAUGAUGGCAGAAAGAUCCUAUUAUGUCCCUUCCACUCUUGACGGGAAUGAAAAUGCUGGUUCAUCAGCUUACUCAAAGAAGUACCACAGCUCACCAGACAUAUCUGCACUGAUUGCUGCAAGCAGGAGUGCUCUGUUGAAUGAAUCAAAGUUGGGUGGUGGUACCAUUGGAUCCCAGUCGUACCUUAGCAGGCUUGCAUCGGAAAGAUCUCAGUAUACAAACUCGGUGGCCAGGCCUGCAGCUCCCUUGGCGUUUGAUGAGCUCUCUCCACCUAAGCUCCCAGGGGAUAUCUUCUCAAUGCAACAAAGCCCAAACCCAAGUGCAAGAUCCCUUUGGGCUAAGCAACCUUUUGAGCAGCUGUUUGGUGUGUCGAGUGCGGAGCUCACUAAAAGCGAGUUCAACCCUGCAGGCAGAUCGGGUGGCAUGACCAAGGAUGAUUUCUCUUACAAGGAGUCUGAGGCGAAGCUUCUUCAGUCUCUUAGAUUCUGCAUCUCGAAGCUCCUGAAGCUAGAAGGAUCAGGGUGGCUGUUCAAGCAAAAUGGUGGCAGCGACGAAGAUCUGAUUGAUCAAGUUGCUGCGGUAGAGAAGCUAUUGCAACAAGGAACCAGUGACAACCAACUGCUGCUUGGUGAUACUCAGCAACCACCAUGUGAUAAGGCAGACAUCCAGUACAUGCGCGUACUGCCUAACUGCGGAGACGACUGCAUCUGGCGCGCCUCCCUCGUUGUCAGCUUCGGUGUCUGGUGCAUCCGCCGGGUGCUAGACCUGUCUCUGGUGGAAAGCAGGCCAGAACUUUGGGGCAAGUAUACCUAUGUUCUCAACCGUCUUCAGGUGAGCUAUUUCAGUCCUGAACUAGUCUGAAUUUGAGUGUUGUUUUUCAGUGCCCAAGACUUGACUGCAAACCUGAAACUGCUCAUUUUCAACGUACAAGACUAACUCUGUCAAUCAUUUUUUUCGCUCAAAUGUAAUGCAGGGCAUCCUGGAUCCUGCAUUCUCCAAGCCUCGGAGUGCUCUCAGCGCGUGUGCGUGCCUUCACAGAGAUAUCCGGGUGCUCAACAGCCUGCGCCACAGUAGCCUGGUAGCAACAAACUCCAUUCCAAGGCAAAUCCGAGGUUCCUUCACCACCGCAUCUGUGGUCCUGGAGAUGAUCAAGGAUGUGGAGACCGCAGUCUCAGGGCGCAAGGGCAGGAGUGGCACCGCAGCUGGGGAUGUCGCCUUCCCCAAGGGGAAGGAGAACCUGGCCUCCGUGCUGAAGCGAUACAAGCGGAGGCUCUCGAGCAAGGGACAACAAUAAUAAGGCAUCUGGGCAGCGUGAUCCUGUCGCGUUUUAGGGGGACUUUGACCAUUGUUCUUCAAGGAUGGCAGCCAGCCAUGGUGGCUUGCCCUCCCUGAGCCCUGGAUUUUUUCGUUGCACAACGUUUGCAGGGACCUGAGGAAUUGGCCAACACUUCUGGUCCCUUCCAUCAUAUUUCGUUUUUUUUUGUUUCUUUCUUGUUUUUUUUUUUUUUUUUGCAUGUGAUGUGUUGUAUAAUGGUAACUGUUCAUGUGCCAGAAGAACAACCACCAAAAUGUACAACAGAUGUAGUCAGCUGAUGCACCAUUGUAAAGUUUAGUCUCUGCAUUUUAACCUUUUUUUUGGGGGUCAUUGACAAACUGAAUGAAUGCCCUGUGUAAUCUCUCUUCAGAGAGGAUGCCAAGACUGAGAAAAAGCUUUUGCCAGAUUUCCAGAUUCCUUGUGUUCAUCUAAUAUCUGUCAUGUCUCUCACAUUUUCUCCAGCUUAUGAUCUUUUUGUCUCGUUGGCAUUUGAUAGCGUGUGCUGGAGAUGUCUACCGUAUAUGUGGAUUACUGUAUUAAGCUUCUGGGACCGGUGUAUAUAUAUAAUUUGUAUGGAUAGAGAUAAAGAAAUACUAACUCGAUAUGGAUUAGUUAUAUCCUAAUGUUUCUCUAAACACCAGGCGUAGUGGCACUGUACUGCAACCUCACCCAAGAACAUGUUUUUGGGGUUCAGACUUGAGAGUAUCCAUUGCUGAAUUUGCCUCACCGCAAGUUUAGUCUUGCAUUUCACAAAAUUGCAAGGAUAGCUAACAAUUUUAUCACAAAACCAUAAACUUUGUGGCCGUGCAAUUGGAUAUGCUCUCUUUGCUCAGAAGCUUUUGAGGAUACUGAUCACCUGUUCAGAAACUGUGCCUUUGGACUUGAUUUGUACCGGGAAACUUGACAACCCGGCCGACACAGUAUUCUCGAUUAGAUGUUGGGAAAACAAGAUAGCCAAAACAAAUACGGCACAAAAGGCAAAGGAGACCUCUGGGAAUACUAAUCAGGAGAGAGAAACUUAGGUGGUGUUUGAAUCUUCCUUUAAGAUGAAGAUUAAGUGUUUCACGUAAAACGAGGUGAUAAUAUUAUGUGAUUAAUUAAGUUCUAAUCAUUACAAACUUGAAAAAUAUAUUAAUUUGAUAUUUUAGAACAACUUUUAUAUAGAAAGUGUUCACAUGAAACUACCGUUUAGCAGUUUAGAAAAGCGUGCCACGAGUAUCCAAAAGCUUAUCAAUUUUGUUGGAGAAAAGAAUAGGGUUAGUCUUCCAAGGUUCUUUUAUUCGGCAGAGCUCCCGCUGUCGGUUCUUUAAAGAAAAACUCGUAGAUUAGGCCACCCAUCAAAUAUAAAUGUAAUACUCCAUUACACAAAUUUAAUUUUACAUAAGGGUUCAAAAUUACAUUAUAGUUUAUUUACACUACGAAUUACAUCUGGGUAAAUUUUUAGAAAUUUGGAAGCAAAACCGUGAACACGUCAUCAAAAACUGGAUGUGGGCUCCACGAGUUCAGAGGAUGUUCCGAACCCGUUUUGAUCGCCCACGGCCCGCCGCCCCGCCGUGGAGCCGAUCCCCGCCACCGCCGGCGAGCAGCUGUUCCGGACGGCGUCCUGCUGCUCCCUGCGCCGCCCCCAUCCCCUCGGCCUCCGCCGAGCUCGUUCCUGCGCGGUGAGCAUCCUUGCCGACGCACCAGAACCCUCUUUUUUUUCUCUCUCUCUCUCGUUGUACCCACACACCUCUACUCGAAUUUGCUCUAUCUUCUCUUGUAGAUCUGAAAGCUAGGUUUUCUUUUUUACUUGUCUUAACCUUUAGUUACAUAACAGGUUUUUUCCCACAUCAGGUCCACAUCGAUCUAUAAUAGCCAAGAGCCCAAGACCUGCAGGGCUUCCCGGGGGUGGUGCAUCUUCUCAGGCGGAGGGGCCUCCUUGGAUUCCUUGAAGUUUAUGGCGCCGGCGACCAAACUCAUCACCGUGUGUGCACCGGCAAAUAUGACGAACAGGUCCCCCUGUACAUGUGCGCGGUCACCUUGAGUUGGUCACCCCUGUCAAAACAUAGUAACUUUGUCAAAACCUAACCUAAACAAACAUGUUUUUUUCACAAAAUUCUUCAUUCUUACCUCAUGUCUGAUUUUAACAAAUCUAGCCUGUGGUUUGCCUUCAGAUGAGCAAUACGCCAUCCAUGCAUACUUCCUGCCGCCCUCUCCUGUUUCCUAAUGCGCUGCUCAAGGCGCCUCAUCAUAACCUUUUGCACCAGAAAAGCAUCAAAAUGUUGCUUGUCAGCACAAAACAAUAAAUCCUUCUCAAGUCUCAACGAGGGGGUAAAACUUCCAGCAUCACAGGUAGCUUCUCCAGGUCACUCCUCUCUCAUCCAGUUAGGAAUCGUGGAUGCAAAUGCAGAAUCGAUUUCAUCCGUCCCCGAAAAGAAAUACAAGGGAUUUUGGCAAUGCGAAUGCAGAGCCAAACUCCCUCAUAUUUGGAUUUGGGGACAGAGGUAGCAGAUAGGCAAGGCAAUUAGAGCAGUAAUUUUACCCUGGUAGCUCUUGUGGAGAAAUAGCGGGGCUGGGCGAGUGCGGAGGAAGCCCAUGGUGGGGUGGAGGUGGCGGCGGACUGAACAAGAAACAACAAGUUAGGCGCAUUUAACGGAGGAAUAGUGCAGUAGCAAUAACUAGGAAGCUUGUGCAACAAAAUAAGCAAGCACACGCGACAACAAAAUGAUCCAAUCCAAUUACUUAGAAUCAACUCAACUCAAUAGUGCAGUAGUAGCAAAUCAGAAAACAACUUCAACUCGGACUGGCAGCUGCUGACGCAGGACGAGGCGCGCGGCCACGUCCGCGAGUACGCCGACAACGCCGCCCUCUGGGACCACGACUUCGCCGCCUCGCUGCUCAAGCUCAGCAAGCUGCCCAUGCCGGUGGGGAGCAAGGGGGAGAUCAGGAACAAGUGCGGCGCCAUCAACCACAGCAAGAGCUAAUUCGGCCACUUAUGCAGGGGGUUACGUACAUGCAUGCAGACGAUGUGGUCGUAGCCAUAUGUUUUCUUGUUAUAUCUCAUCGUUCUAAAAUACAGAAAACCUUGUACUCGAAAAAAACAUCAUAUAGUACUAUCAAAUCAGUCUAGAUUUAUACUACUAGAUAGCUAGUGUCUAAUCGAGUACUAGGAGUAUAUUUUAAAACAAGAGUAGUUUGUUAUUACUUGGUACUAGCACGUCAGUGAAUGUACGUGCACAAGAAAUCCUCGUCGAUAAUGAAAACUAGCAUGGUAUUGGAGAAUCCAUCUCUUAAACCCAUCAAGUCGAAAUCCUGAAGCACCAAAAUCCCCCUACUUGAUACGCAACUAUCGACGUUUGAUGUCGCAAUUCUGGUAUUUGCAUAGUAUGGGGAUCGUCGGUGCUAGGAUAUACGCGAGACUGAGGUGAAAGAGACGGAGACAAGGAUUUUUAUACAGGUUCGGGCCCCUGAGUUGUCAGGUAAUAACCCUACAUCCUGUUGGCCGGAGCCGGUAUUGCUUUUAUUCACCAUAAUCACACCAGUACAAUAUGUGGGGUAGCCUAUUUAACUGUUGUCGACAUGUCGGUCUGAAGGUCUGACUCGUAGUCGACAACAGGGUAGCCUUCCUCCUCGAAUCCGUGUCCGGCGAGAUCAGAGAUAGCGCUUUCGUCUCUCCUGACGGUAUCCGGAGACACCGUAGGGGAAUAGCCAUGCCUAUCCCUAAAGUCGAUAUCCGGCGGCUUGUCUUGGCAUAUGUUGGCUUGUAUGUUGUGGCUUCUGUUAUUCCGUAUAUUGUGGUGGUUGUUGAUUGAGGUGGUCGUCUGUGUCGAUCGUGGUGACUGUGUUGAUCCUGUCAUGGUGGGUGUCCCACUGUCCUCCUAGGGGGGCUUGUAUUUAUACCCAUAGGUGUCCCAUUGUCCAAGUAGAACUAGGGAAACCAAUAUGGAUACAAUCCGAGUAGUCCUUGUCGUUUCCAUGUAAAAUUCUGGUUGUCUUUCCUUAUCCGGAACUCCCUCCAUAACUGAAGUUAGUUUCUGUAUAAGACAUGGUAUGUGGUGGGUCCUGCCGAGAUUUAGUCAACUACUAUUAGGUAUGUGGUAUCCAUAACCCUGACAGUAGCCCCCGACUUCAAUGCAAAUGAACGAAUUCAUAUUCUCAACCGCAGACCCUGGAGUAACUGUUGUCGUGCUCACGUGACCGUUCUCGGUGAGUUUAGAGAUAACGUUAGACUUUCUUUAUCAGCCUCGUGCGGGCACCAAAACGGUUUGUCUAAGUCAAUCUCUGAUGUCAACCAAGGAAGUACAGAGCGUACGACUAAGUCUCCCGUCUUGCUGUAAUCGAGAAUUUGGAUUGAAGUCAAGAAAUUCUAUCUCGGCUGGUACACCAUCUCUUCAUUCCGUAUUCCUUGUCGAGAUCCAGCAACCGUUCUCGAGCGAUCGAGAAGGCGUAGAGUCUGCGACGGAGCCUUGUCAACAUUUGUCGUACUCGCCAUAGUCGAUCUUGGUGUAGAACCAUAGAGACAUAGAGUCUUCGUCAAUGUCGAAUAGAAUUUUCCUGAAAUCAAUACUCAGAAAAGAAUAUUAGAUAGAAAUAGCCCCCGAGCGAAUGCCCAAAGGGUGAUAAUGUUAUAAUAUGUAUGGUAAAUUGAAAAUGAAUUAAAUUUACCGACCAAUGUUUUGUGUAUGAGCGUCUUCUCUCUUACCGACUUCGAUCAGUCAGUUUGUAGAGUCAUACACUCUCCCUAGCCCCCAGCCUUGUCGUCGGAGAAUCGUUCUCGGAGGAUAAGGCUCUUGGACCCUUGACCUGCCUUGGUUGAACAAACACUGAUCCUAGCCCCCAGCCGUGAAGUUGGAAAGCUCAGUUUCCGAUUACACGGCUUGGUUAAUACGCACGGCGAGAACUCUUACACGACCAGAUCUUACAUGGUCUUUUGUCUCUACAGGAUCCGACAAGGCCUUAUCGGCUCUGGGCGUCCCCAGCCGAAGUUCCCUUAGGUUCCUCGGAGGCCUUGUCAAGACGGCGUAAUGGGACAGUAGGAUAGGUUUCAACGCUAGGUGUCGUCGUGGUAAGGGAUCUCUGGGUAAAACACUUGGCGAUAUUGUAUACCAGCUAUCAACUUUGUUGAAAUAGAGGUAGUAGGAGAGUCGUUACACCGCUGGUCGAGAACCAGGCAGUAGUCAUAACUCGACCACUUAAAGUGGAAAUAGUGGGAGAAACGCUACAUCGCUGGUCGAGAACCAGGCAGUAGUCGUAUCUCGACCACUUAAAGUGGAAAUAGUGGGAGAAACGCUACAUCGCUGGUCGAGGACCAGGCAGUAGUCGUAACUCGACCAAUUAAAGUGGAAGUAGUGGGAGAGACGCUACAUCGCUGGUCGAGAACCAGACAGUAGUCGUAACUCGACCACUUAAAGUGAAAAUAGUGGGAGAAACGCUACAUCGCUGGUCGAGAACCAGGCAGUAGUCGUAACUCGACCACUUAAAGUGGAAAUAGUGGGAGAAACGCUACAUCGCUGGUCGAGGACCAGGCAGUAGUCGUAACUCGACCACUUAAAGUGGAAAUAGUGGGAGAAACGCUACAUCGCUGGUCGAGGACCAGGCAGUAGUCGUAACUCGACCACUUAAAGUGGAAGUAGUGGGAGAAACGCUACAUCGCUGGUCGAGGACCAGGCAGUAGUCGUCACUCAACCACUUAAAGUGGAAGUGGUGGGAGAAACGCUACAUCGCUGGUCGAGGACCAGGCAGUAGUCGUCACUCGACCACUUAAAGUGGAAGUGGUGGGAGAAACGCUACAUCGCUGGUCGAGGACCAGGCAGUAGUCGUAACUCGACCACUAGAAGCAAAUGUACGAGAGAUUACUACGAUCAACUGGUUGAGAACCGGUGAGUAGGUGUCCCUCGAUCAUUUGGAGUCGUGGUACGAGAACCGCUACGCUGCCGGUCGAAGACCAGUCGUAGCUGUUCCUCAACCAUCUGAAGUCAUGGUGCGAGGACCGCUACGAUGCCGUAGUCAUACCUCGACCAUCUGAAGUUAAGGUGCGAAAGAUUGCUACGUACUGGUGCGAGAACCAGCGUGCGAGCAGAAUUAUCUCUCGAACACCAAUGGAAGUUGCGGUGUGAGAGAUUGCUACGUACUGGUGCGAUAACCAGUGAGCGAGUAAAAUUAUCUCUCGAACACCAAUGGAAGCUGCGGUGUGAGAGAUUGCUACGUACUGGUGCGAGAACUAGUGAGCGAGCAGAAUUAUCUCUCGAACACCAGUGGAAGUGCUAGAGUUGGUUUAUUGCAAGUGUAUCUCAUGUGGCCAGCAUGACUCACGUACCCAACUUAUAGCAUAUCCGGAUGUCCGUUCGCAAUCAUGUCGGGUGAUCAAGCCGACGACGUUCGCAAGGAAUUAUCCGUUAACAACCUUUUCUCAAGUAGUCCAGCCAUGGCCGGUGCUAUGAGAUAGGUCGUCGGUCUUUGUUGGUAGGUUGGGUGCGAUAACUCCGCAUUUGUCAAGAAUGUUCUCGAUAAUGGAGUAUAUUCGACCAUAACCUACUCGAGUGCUCAAUUGUUCCUGAAAAAUAUUUUCUAGAAGGCAAGAUAUAUAGCAGAUAAUAUCGAGUAUGUACUCAAAGAACUGCAUGGAUCUUCUAGUAUUAUCAGGAUACAAUAAGCAGAUGUAAAUAUCAGGGCAUUAUGUAAACCGUAAACAAGCAUGAUUUAUACAUAAGAGAACGGAGUGAGCCCCCAGCGUUAGACCGUAGUUGGUCUAUCGUCGGAAGUACUCGCACAACGGAUGUUGUAUAAGAAACAUGCUCUAGGUAAACAUAAUAAAUUGCUGAUAUGAUAAUGUUGUAUCAUCUGAAUAGGUACGAUAAAUUGCAUAUAAAAUAUUACGUACCUUUGUAGAUACAUGCCGGAUGUAUCUACGAAAUUAGUAGAUCAAUUUGAAAAACCAAUCUACCAAUUACCUUAUUGCGUACUCGUUCGACAUCAUAUGAUCUGACAUCUUUUGGUACGGCGCGGAGCUUGAGGCUUGGGUGAUCUCGAUAAACCAAGUUGUCGAUGACGAUGAUGGUUCUGAUCUUGUCGGAAGACAUGUUCCGGUCGGGUUAGAUCUCCACAGCCGAAGUCGUCGAGUAGUUUGCUAUUGGAGAAUCCAUCUCUUAAACCCAUCUCGUCGAAAUCCUGAAGCACCAAAAUCCCUCUACCUGGCGCGCCACUGUCGACGUUUGAUGUCGCAAUUCUGGUAUUUGCAUAGUAUGGGGAUCAUCGGUGCUAGAAUAUACGCGAGACUGAGGUGAAAGAGACGGAGACAAGGAUUUUUAUACAGGUUCGGGCCCCUGAGUUGUCAGGUAAUAACCCUACAUCCUGUUGGCCGGAGCCAGUAUUGCUUUUAUUCACCAUAAUCACACCAGUACAAUAUGUGGGGUAGCCUAUCUAACUGUUGUCGACAUGUCGGUCUGAAGGUCUGACUCGUAGUCGACAACAGGGUAGCCUUCCUCCUCGAAUCUGUGUCCGGCGAGAUCAGAGAUAGCGCUUUCGUCUCUCCUGACGGUAUCCGGAGACACCGUAGGGGAAUAGCCAUGCUAUCCCUGAAGUCGAUAUCCGGCGGCUUGUCUUGGCAUGUGUUGGCUUGUAUGUUGUGGCUUCUGUUGUUCCGUAUAUUGUGGUGGUUGUUGAUUGAGGUGGUCGUCUGUGUCGAUCGUGGUGACUGUGUUGAUCCUGUCAUGGUGGGUGUCCCCCUGUCCUCCUAGGGGGCUUGUAUUUAUACCCAUAGGUGUCCCAUUGUCCAAGUAGAAAUAGGGAAACCAAUAUGGAUACAAUCCGAGUAGUCCUUGUCGUUUCCAUGUAAAACUUUUGUUGUCUUUCCUUAUCCGGAACUCUCUCCAUAACUGAAGUCAGUUUCCGUAUAAGACAUGGUAUGUGGUGGGUCCUGCCGAGAUUUAGUCAACUACUAUUAGGUAUGUGGUAUCCAUAACCCUGACAAUAGUAUGUUUUCUCAUUAUAUUAUUCAAAUAUAUUAAAAUGACAACUUAAUUUUAAAUUUUGCAAUAACUUUACAAAACUACUAAUAUGUAAUAUCCAUAUUGUAUUUUAUAUACGUGUUAGUUAUUAAUUAUUUUUAAUAUCAAAUUUUAGUUAUUUGUAAAUUAUAUAUAUUGACUCAUUUUUUAAUAUAUUUUUUUAAUUCCGAAUUUUCUGUAAAUUGUAUUUCUAUAUAGACUCUAUGCUCUUCUUCCAAUAUUAUUUAUUUUUAUUUCAGAAUUUUUAUUAUUUCUAAUUGUAUUUCUAUGUGGACUCUAAACUAAUUUUUAAUUUCGAAUUUCAGUUACUUAUAAAUUGUAUUCCUAUAUUGACUUUAAACUCUUUUUCCCAUAUUUUUCUUAAUUUCGAAUUUUAGUUAUUUGUAAAUUGUAUUUUUAAUUAUUUUUAAUAUCAAAUUUUAGUUAUUUGUAAAUAUAUAUAUAUAUUGACUCGUUUUUUAAUAUUUCUUUUUUAAUUUCCGAAUUUUCUGUAAAUUGUAUUUCUAUAUAGACUCUAUGCUCUUCUUCCAAUAUUAUUUAUUUUUAUUUCAGAAUUUUUAUUAUUUCUAAUUGUAUUUCUAUGUGGACUCUAAACUAAUUUUUAAUUUUGAAUUUCAGUUACUUCUAAAUUGUAUUCCUAUAUUGACUUUAAACUCUUCUUCAAAUGUUUUUCUUAAUUUUGAAUUUUAGUUAUUUGUAAAAUGUAUUUUUAUACGGACUCUAAACUCUACUUUUAAUUUUAUUAUGUUUAUUCCAAAUUUUAGUUAGUUUUAAAUUCCUAUAUGGACUCUAUACUCUACUUCUAAUAUUCCUUAUUUUUUAAUUCCAAAUUUCUAUUUUUUUCUUAAUUGUAUUUAUAUAUAGACUCUAUACUCUACUUCUAAUAUUCCUUAUUUUUAAUUCCAAAUUUCUAUUAUUUACUAAUUGUAUUUCUAUAUAGACUAUACUCUACUUCUAAUAUUUCUUAUUUUUAAUUCUGAAUUUCAGUUAUUUCCUAAUUGUAUUUCUAUAUGGACUCUAUACUCUACUUCUAAUAUUCCUUAUUUUUAAUUCUGAAUUGCUGCUAUUCCCUAAUUGUAUUUCUAUAUGUACUCUAUACUCUAGUUCUAAUAUUCUUAUUUUUAAUUCCGAAUUUCAGUUAUUUUCUAAUUGUAUUUCUAUAUGGACUCUAGUCUCCUCUUCUAAUAUUCCUUAUUUUUUAAUUCCAAAUUUCAACUAUUUCUAAAUUGUAUUUCUAUAUGGACUCUGCCUUUUCUUUUUCUCCGAUUAAUGUGAGAAUUUCUAGGCCAUGAGAGCGAACGUGGAGACUUCCUUUUCUAUUCCUUUAAUAAUAUAAUAGAAGAUAUAAGUAACAAAAAAAAUACAAUUUGACAGGAAUUAUAUCAAAACAAUUAGUAUUUGUGAUCAAACGGGCAUGCAUGUGGGGUCAGCCCACCCUAGCCCAUGGCUUGAUGGGUACAUCCUGAUUAUUAUGCACUGCUCGACAAGGAUAUGCCGUGGCGGCUCACGUGCUAAGGCCAGAACCAAGAUAUGGCCGAAGAGGAGCCAGGACGUGCACGUGUGACCCAUGAAAUAUUUUUUUCAUGAAAUUGCACGUUAGUAUAUUAGAAAAAAAAUAGAGUUUUAGUUAUACAGCGUAAUCGACCAAACUGGUCGCUGUCGGUUACAAGGAAAAAGAUUGCGGAAGGGAAAAGAGUCAAAACUAGAAGUUGUUGCUCGUAUCUAGCGGCACUACUACGAAAACCAUCUUUCGUUGCGGCCAUUUUGGGUUUUCGCUGGUGGUUUUUGGUACCGCCACAAAGCAAAGGCCAGUGAAGAUCAAGAUCUUCGCUAGCGGUUAUCGGCCGCCAGUGAUAAUUGAUUUUUGCUGGCGGUUGUGUUAUACUGGCCGCCAGCGAUAAACGAUUUUCGCUGGCGGUUGAGUUAUACCAACCGCCUGCGAAAAUAGUGGCCCAGGUUAAAAAAAAAUGACAAAGCAACACUGCUCCGUUCGCCUCCAUCAACACCGGUUCAAAUUAUUCCCAAAUCCACUCCUCGAUUCACAAAUUCACAUAAAUUUACACGAACAAUUUAUAAUAAAAAAUUUCCAUUCACAGUCAAAAUUUUCCAUUCACAAUCCACAGAAAUCCAAAAAAAUGCACACAAAUCCACACAAAUCUACAGAAAUCUGAGCACCACCGCCCGUGACCUGGCGGCGUCGGCUUCACGCUCCCCACGGCGCAGCGUCGAUCGUGACGAGGUCAAGGCCGACGGUCGUGCUCCACCGCCCGAGGCCCCGCGGCCGUGCGCCCCGCGCCGCCGCCGGGGCGGAUCCGUCCUUCCCGGCGGCAGCCUCCUCCCCUCGGACAGAUCUAGGAGAGGGUAGAGGAGGGGAUGGGAGGGCGCGGCGCCACCGCUUCCUUCGUGGUCAUCGUCGUCACCGCUUCCGUCGUAGUCGCUGUUGUCGCCGUGCACAUUCGCGCCGCGCCCCUCCCGCCCGUCGUCGGCGCCGCGCCCCUCCUAGAUCUCGGUCGUCGACAAGAGGAGGAAGCUGGAGGAGCAGGGAAGGAGGAGGGGGAGAGAGGUGGGGGAGGAGGAGGAGAGGGAGGUGGAUGGGUGGGUGGAGAGGAGGAGACAGAGGAGAGAGAGGCAGUGGGUGGGUGAAAGGAAAAUAUCUCAGCACGCGCGUGAUUUUAAAUGAUGCCAAAUUUUUUUAGCGGGCUCUGUUUUUUCGCUAGCGGAAGUGUUUAGUAACCACUAGCGAAAACCGACGCGAAAACGUCGGUUUUCGCUGGCGGACAUUUAAGAGAUCCACCACGAAAAAUAGAGUAUGUUUUAUGGCGGACGUCUUAACGUGGCCACCAGAGAAAAUCGGUUUUCGCUGGCAGUCCUAUACCCCCCACCCCUCAUGUUUUUGCUGGUGAUUUUAGCAUAUAACCGCCAGUGAAAAUUAUAGUGUGACGCCAUGAAAAAUUGUUUUUCUAGUAGUGCGGGAGGGGGUGGCGGAGGAGCCUCCUAAUCUCCCAAAAGGCUCCCAAACGAGACAGGACCAGCGAGAGACCAGAGACGAACCUCCUAGCGAAUGUAUUGGAAAACCAUCGAGACCGGCGAAAGAGAAAGAAUCGAAAACCCUAGCGUUCCGCUCUUUCCAAAGCUGUAGGAAACCAAGAGGACCAGAGAGUCGAAGGCCUUACGAAGAUGCUAAGGCAGGCAAGCCCUAUCUACCGGCCACCAGACCUGAAGAGAAUCGCUACGGAGAGGCCGAGCAAGCCUAGGCAAGCCAAAGGGAGACCGGAUGUAGUGCCAAACUUAACGAGCGAACACACAGUCGAGCAUGAUGUGGCUCGCUAUUUCAUGCUUCUGAGCACAAAAUGGGCAGGUCGAGCGUCUGUAAAUGCCGUGCUUAUGCAGAUGAUCUGCCGCCUAGCAACGCUGUUGGAACACGUGACCCAUGACAUUUGAAAUCGAAGUUGGGAAAACCAAAAAUAGGAAGAAUAAGAAGAAUAGGAACAGGAAAAAAAAGAAAGAAAAUAAAAGAGGGCAAGGAAAAAUAAGGAAGAAAUAGGAAGAACAUGAGAAAAAUUAGGAUAAUCAUUGUGAAAAAAAUAGAUGGCCAACGGAUUAGGAUCCGCUGACAUGAAGUCAGAGGGACGUGGUGACUGAUAUGUGGGCCCAACCGCUCGCGAGCCCACCUGUCAGUGACCACGUCAAGGGGGAUUUCACGUCAGAGGAUCUUCUUCUGUGGCCGACCGGGCGGAGCUUGUUCUUGGUCCUUGCUGUGCCAUGUCUGGCCAUGCACGACAUGGCCAAAUGGGACGUGUGGAAGAAAUAUGUGCAUGCACAUGAUGAAACAUGAAUGUGUGGAAUAAAUACUAUGUCGUUUUGACUGUUUGUUGACUUUUGGACGAGCUUUUCGGCACCUAUAUGAAGUUAUGAACAAUGAAACAUGCAGAUCUAUAGAGAUACUAGUGCAUAGCGUUUAUUGGAUGGUAAUUCGUUGUCCUAAAAAUAAAAUGGAACUAUACCAGUCCAGGCGACCAAACAACAGUUUUUUUACAAGUGUUUCUGGGCAGUCGUUCGGCAGUGUGACAACAAUGACGAAGAGUUGACAGUCGGCAAUGUGGCAAUUAACGAGCAACAAUCUGAGGCACUCCCUCCAUCCUAAAGAAAAUCAAAUCAUACUAAAGGGGCCGAAUGGCCUGGGCCGCCUAUUUGCCAAUCAAAGUACACCCAAGGUCCCUCAACUUGUCAUCGAGUUACAAAAUCAUCCCCCAAUCGCAAAACCAAAUAUAUGACAUCCCUCAACUUAUAAAAACCAUUCACUUUAGGUCAUUCGGUGGUUUUGACCCUGGUUUUAUCCUACAUGAGCAGAGUCAGUGUGGGACCCACAUGAGCCCACAUGUCAGGAUGCCACGUCCGCACCCUCUCUCUUCCCCCUCCUCUCCCUUCCUCCUCUCUCUCUCUCUCUUACUCUUCUCUUCUCUUCUCUGGGCAAACCGGCCAGUGGCUGAGGAGGAGGCCGCCAGGGCGAGGCGCAAGAGGAGGAGGCGACGGCGGCUGCGACGCGGGAGAAGGCGAGGGUGGCGGACGGUCGCGAAUGGCAUUGACGGUGCUGCGUCGCCUCCGCCCCGUGCGGGCAGGCGCCGCGGCAUUGGGCACAGAGGCGGAGACAGGGCCGGGUGCCGUGGAGGUGGACUCGGCGGACUUGGAGCCCCGGCCUGCUCUUGCGCCGCAUCCUCCCUCUCUCCGUGUGCUGGCUGUCCCUCCCUACCUCCUCCCUAUUCGCGUGCGCUCGCCGCCGGCCGGCGGGCAUGGGAGCAAGCGAGCCGUCCGUGGCGUCGGCAGCAAUGGUGGUGCGAUGCAUGAGGAUGGGGAGGACCAGCGUCAUCGUCACGUCACGUCCUCGUCGGCGCGAAGAUGAAGGAGACGGGGAAGAGGAAGAGGUGGUGCGCGUCCUCCUCCUUCUCGUCGAACUCGUCGCAAUCGUCGUUGUCGUUCGCCGAUGCCCCGCUCCGCGCUGGCGGCUUCGCACGUUGCCACUCUGCCCACCGUCGCCCCACUUCGCCUGCUUGCUCUACCCGCCGGCUUCAUGCGGCGCCGCUCCGCCUAUUCUGCUCCCCUCUGGUCGGCUGCUCCCAUGGGAGAGAGCGGACAGAUACAGAGAAGAGAGGGGAUGAGAGAGGAGAGGAUAGAGGAAGAGAGGUUGAAAGGGGAGGGGAAGAAGAGGCUGACGUGUGGCGGUGUGGGACCCACGUGGGUAGAAGAAAAUCGAUUGGGAUUGAGACAGAGAGGGGGGGGGACCUGGAGAGACGCGCGUGGUAAAGGAAUAGGUUGGUUGUAUGUACAGAAAGUGGUUGGCAUGCUAGCUGUACGGUGGAAGCAAACCAUUAUGGCUUGCCAUUGACUUCUUUUUAAUUUCCUUGAGAAAUAGACAAAAAUUUAACCAGAUCCUCCUCAGCACCGUAGAGGGAAGGUCUCCUCGCCACCUUGCUAAUGGGCUCGUGGAUCUGGGCCGACGAUGGCCGGAUCCGUCAUCCUGCCCCGUCACAUGGUGUCAUCAGGGAUGAUGGAGACGGCGGCGGUGGAGCGAAGCAGUCGUCAAUGCUAGCUACGAAGAGGUCCAUCAUAGAUACCGGCUACGAGGUGGAGAUAAAAUCAGAAAAAAAAGAUGAACGGAUUGUGGAUAGCGCAUUACCUGGUCGUCGUAGGGAGAGAACCACCGGUAGCAACUGCGGCGGUGCUGGCGAUCACCGAUUAGCCAGUCGCGACACAAGGAAGAGGGGCUUGCUGUGGCAAGAGAAAAGCCGAUCCAGAUAUUUAGGAGAAGACGAUAACUAUGCGUGAUCACUGUUAUGUGGCGGUUUUGCAAUGACUACUUCCUGAAGAUUCGCUUCUCUACGUUCUGUAACAAUUUAAUGCGCAUAGAGUAAAAAAAUAACUCAAGAUGCUGACAUCGUUAGAGUACAACAAGAAACUAUCUCACUGUUAGUAAAAAAAAUUAUUUGGACUAUAGGAGUGGGGGCAGGGGGCGCAGGGGUGGGAUCGAGAUUGGUCGUUAGUGAGUAAAAUUUUAACUGCAUGCUAUAAACUUGGUGGGGGACAGGGUUGGGAGCGGCAGUGGUGGGGGGUUGAGCAGUGGGUGGGGCUGGGGGCUGUAUCACGUGCCAUUUAAUACGUAGCACCUUAAGGUGCCACAUAGUAGUUCUAUACACACACGCACACAUAUACACAAAUUUUUACGUGGAAAAUCCUUACGGGAAAAAACCACGGACACCGACUAGCAAUGAUCGAUAUAGAGAAGUUGAAUACAAACGCACGACACACUGGGUUGUCGCACCCUUCUCGUGUAGCUUACAAGAGACAUGUAAAAGAGAAAUCUAUAAGUCCUAGUAGGAAAAGACUUACAAUCAUAAUAAGAAACUAAUCAAGUGUUUUAUUAUAAAACUAAUCCGAACAUAUUGCAUGCUAUUUUUUUUGAAAGGAAAGCGGCAAGAGUAUUGCCGAAUAUAUUAGGAGAGAAAAGUAUGGUUUACACGAUUAAUGCGGAAAAACAACUUAGAAUCAUCUCAGAACCAUAGAUCCUGGUUUGAGAAGGGAAGAGAUACACUCAUGACGGUUGGAAUUCAAAACUGCUUUCUUGAAUAUCUUGGAUGAUCUGGUGUGAAGUCUUUUGCAUGUCCGGUUCUUCUCCUCUGAAGAUCUUUGCGUUCCUUUGUAGCCAAAUGUACCACCAAGUUUUGACAAUCUGAACAUAUUGCAUGCUGAAAUUUGGAUCACAUAUUUAACAAUCUCCAUCUUAAGACGAAUUUUCCUUGUAGCAUAAAAAUCCGAAACGCUCCUGUCCAGACGCCUGAUUGUAGGGAAAACAAUCGGAUUCUCAUGCGUCUCUCCUCAAACCGUGUGAUGUUAUAAUGGAUUUUUUUACUGUUCCAAUGGGUAUUUAAUGAUGUUUCACUAGGUCAUUUUGAAAUGUUACACGGGAUGUUUUUUUGAUGUUUAAGGAGGUAUUUUGUGAUGUCCUCGGCUGAUGUUUCACUGUAUCAUUUUUUAAUGUUGCACGUGGUGUUCUUUGAAUGUUUCAGGAGGUAUUUUGUGAUGUUUCAGCUAAUGUUUCACUAGGUCAUUUUGAAGUGUUGCACACAUGGUAUUAUUUUGAUGUUUUCCUAGGUAUUUUGUGAUGUUUCACUAUGUCAUUUGGAAUGUUGCAUGUCGUGUUCUUUGGAUGUUUCAGAAGGCAUUUUGUGAUGUUUUAGAACGUAUUUCACUAGCUCAUUCGGAAUGUUGCACGUGAUGUUAUUUGAAUGUGUUAGAAGGUUUUUUGUGAUGUUUCACAAGAUACUUCACUAGCUUAUUCGGAAUGUUGUACAUGGUGUUCUUUGGAUGUUUCAGCAUGUAUUUUGUGAUGUUUCACUGGGUAUUUUACUAGCUCAUUUGAAAUUUUAUACGUGGUAUUUUUUGGACAUUUCAGCAGAUGUUUCACUAGAUCAUUUAGGAUCUUGCACGUAUUGUUCUUUCAAUAUUUCAAUGUAUAUUUUGUAUUGUUUUAGAGGUCACAAAUCAAUGUCCCACUUAUAAUAAAAAUGUUUCAAUUAGUAAUAUAAUUACAUAUGUUUUAUUUCUCCAAAAUAUAAUCAUGUGAGAUCUCUUUGUAAAGAUUUAAUUGCAACAAAUUCAACGGUGCAAUUGAAUCACAAAUUGGAUAAGUAUUUCAUAAGAAAAAAUGGUUUAUAAUUUGCUAAUUAAGAGUAUGGGAGAAGAGACAAGGGGAUGGGAGAAGUUUGCAUGUACCUCACAUGUGGAAGAGAAGAAAUGACUGCGUGCAUGCAUGUGGAGGUUUCCCAGAAGAAAAGAUUGCAUGCAUGCUUAGGGGGCCCAAUUUUUUUCUCCAAAAAUCGGGCACCCGUUCCGUAGUGUCCUCCAUAAAAAUCUUCAAUCUCCAAACAACAUCAUGUAGUACCCUCGAUAGAAAAGAGAUGAACCAUACUUCAAACUUACCAUUGGUGUGAACUUAGCAUAGACACGAAACAUGAUGCACAAACUUCAAACUCGCUAUUGGAAUAAAAUCCUGAAUAUGCUGCCAUAAAUUUAUGUAACCCUAGUAGAAAUGCAAAACUCUAGUGCACAAGACAAAGUACUUGGAUCUCCCAAUAACCUACUGGUAUGUUGGGUAUGAUGGUAGCAAAAUUUGUCAGAAAAUUGGAUCACCUUGUGAUCUAGACAGGAGUGAGGCUCCCUCUCGUCGACUCAAAUAUUCUUCUUCUUUUUUCUGUGCUUUUCCUCUUAGGUAAAUACCCCACUUCAAAUAUUUACUUAUCAUAAUGAGAAUAUGUACUCAAUCUAGACGUGGUAGAUUAUCUUCAAACUCGUCAUAAGAAUUAAUCCUAAAUCUGCUCGCAGUACUACAUGAAUGCUCAUUGGUGCCGGUUCUUGAACCAACACACCUUCGUUUUUUAUUUUUCAGGUGCUAAAAAGUCGAAAAAAAUAUUUGGUAUUUUUAUUAGGCACCUAUACAAUCACACUCUCAUUCCCAAAAGUCACAUAAUUUUUGAAUCCAUAUUCAUACAAAUGUGUCAAGAAAAAUUCAAAUUCAAGACAUCUCACUUCACACAAAGUCACCUUGCCAUAUCACCUACAAACACUUCUUGUCUUGGAAACAAAUGCUAUUGUUUUGAGACCACUAUCAUUUGAACUUAUAAUCCAUAUUUAACACCAUAGAUAAGAUAAAAUGAAAAGUGUAGAAAAAUGUAGAUCUUAUCUAUAUCUACAACUUUUAUAUAGGUUUUGUGUCUAUCUGAUAUCGUUUAGAAAUUUUAAAUAUCCACUCAUGCAAAUAGGUUUGAGACAUUGUAACACAUUUUCGGACAUUCAAACAAACUUAAAUCGAAAAGUCAUCAACUACGAAGUUGUAGAUAUCGUCGAGCUCUACAAAUUUGAUAUAAACUUUAUCUUCAUCCGACUUUAUAUGAAAAAGAUAGAUAAAAAAAUACACAUAUAUAUGAGUUGUGUCAUCAUAGGUGCUGGUUUUAAUUGUAAACCAGCCGGCACAUAUGCGAUACACAUAUGUGCCGGUUCAUAAAAACCGUUACAUAUGAUACUGCCGUAGUUAUAGGUGCGAGUUUAUUAUAAGAACCAAUAUCUAUGUGAUGUUCAUAGGUAUCGGUUUAUUAUGAGAACCAGCAUAUAUGAUUUUUGAGGAAUAUUGGUACCGGAUUUUAUUAUAAACAUGUACCAACUAACUCAGUCAAUGAGUUGUUAUAGGUACCGGUUCUUAAUUUUACACUGAAAUAUGAUGGAAAAAAUGUUAUAGGUGUCGGUUUAAAGCAAAUCGGCAUGUAUAAGGUUAAGGUUGGUCUCUAUGGGGGUGUUUUGGAGUAGCUGUGUGGUAUAAAUUUGCUUGAACCAAAGCAGAAACACGAUAUACUCUGGGUGCAAUUCCUGUGUGCACAAAGCGUUGAUCAAGGAGUCUCCUGGUACAUAAGCUUGGGUGGACUUAGCAGUUUCAACGUGAAAUUGAAUUGGCAUGAUCAGUCAGAGCCGAUGCUUUACUCUGCACGUGCUGCUCGUCGCGAUUGCUGCUCGUCAAAUCGGAGUCGAUCAGUCGACUCCUCGUCGGCGUUUGAUGCGAAGCCAAAUCUCGCUAAACAAUUGACGACGAUGAUGAAGACGGCCGGCGGCCCGGAUGGGCCUAUUUGGUAUGGGAUUGGUCCAAAUCUAAAAUUUAGUUCUAGAGUUAUGUUUGGAUAAAGCCGUAGAGCAAUUUAAAUCCAACUCUAUCUUUCUUUCUAGUUUAUUUUGUGAAAUUAUUUUACUCAGUUUCGUUUUUAUUUUAGGUGGAGAUGAAACUGUUUAGUUAGGCUCUAACUCUAGUAGAGGUGGAGCUGAAAUUGUGCCAAAUAGACCCUUAGUAUAUCCAUCUCUAAAGUUCUAAUACCAUUUAUUAUAAAAAUAGAUGCACGACUAAUAUAUGACUUUUAUGUGAAAAACUCUUACCGGAAAAGCCUACAUGCAUAGAUCGGCAAUGAUUAAUAUAGAGGAGUUGGGUACAAACGUAUAGAAUACAUUGGGUUGUCGCAUACUUCUUGUGAGGUUUACAAGAGAUAUAUAAAGAAAAAUUCUAAGAGUCUUAGUAGAAGAAGAUUUAGAGACAUAUUAGAAAAUUAACCCUGAUAGUCAAGUUUUAUAUAUUAGAAAACUAAUCCAAAUAUGUUUCAUGCCAAAAUUUGUAGUAGAAGUAUCAUAUAUGUAACAUAUUUAACUAUACCUGCGGUAUAGCACUAUAGAACGUGUCUUUGCCAGGACACUUCGAUUACUUGGUAAUUUGCCAAAACAUUCCAUGAUCAUUAUUUCAACAUUUUACUCAUUUGGGCAGAUAAAAUUUUAAAAAGGUGCUUUUACGCCCUUUCGCAAAUUGAAAAUUUUGGAAUUUCAGCGCCUCACUUCCUAAAAGGACAUCUUUAAUUAGAAAAAAAAAAUUAAAUCUGAAAAAAAUCAAAAUAUAUUUUUAACUUUUUAAGUAUUUUAGUUUUCCAUGGACCCCGUAAACAUUUUCUUUAUUUUUGCAAUUUGGAUGUUUUUUAAUUUAAAAAAUGUUUAAGUUUACCAAAAAAUUAUUCAAAUUUCAAUUCUUUGUCCGAUAUUUUUUAGAAAAAUUCUAUCAAUCACCUCCAAAAUGUUUGGAGAUUUUCUGCAAUUUAGUAAAAGAUAAAACCAGGCUGAACAUCCAACUUGGCAUGAGGUAAUUUAAAACGUCAUCUCUGUAAUUGUAUCUAUCUAGUAGUUGAGCUGAAAAAUGUUAAAAUAUUAAAAUUAUGGUCAUUUUAGAAAACUACCAUGAAAGUGUCUCGUAGAAAAUACAUUAUUGUAUAAAAAUAACAAAUACAUACAUAUCUAAUAAUAUUUCGUCGAGCAUGUUAUGCCUUUUCGUACGAAAUAGUAUAUGUGCCAUGGAAAAACACGUGAGCAUUUGAGUACUUCAGACUUUCACUCGAAGAGAAAAUGUAUCAAAUGUUAAUUAAUUGUAUAUGUACGUACAUCCUAAUUUAAAAAAGUACAUGUCCUAUAUUGUAUAUUCAAGGUUUCAUUUUAUAAGAAGCAAAGGCUCUAAGAAUCUCCCACGAAUAAAAAAGAAGGCGCUAAGAAUCAAAUUUGGACGGCCAUAUAGUUAAUUAAUUAGCUUGCAGUUUGCCACAACCAGUAUAUAUAAGAAUUUAGGUGUUGUACAUACGUACCUUGAUGAUGUAGAUUUGCACCGAACUGAAAAUGACGUUAGUACGCAUGCAUUUUCUCCUAGAGUGUACCGGCUGGGCGGCUGGCAUUUAUAUAUACUAUGUAAAACUCCGCGUGUUGCUACUGAGUUAGCAUAAUAACAAGUGAAAACAAUGUGUAAGAUAGCUAGCUAGACAAUACAAGCUUACAUAAAUUGAUGCAUGUGAUUUAUGAUAAAUUAAAAUUAAAUAGUGUAUAGAAUGAUGAUUUAAAUGAUAAAUUAAAUUUAAAUAGUGUAUAGAAUGAUGAUUUAAAUGUAAAAGUAAAGGUGAUAUGGCUUUAUGAGAGAAGAAAAGGAGAGAGAUAUUUUGGACCAUAGAUUAUCUAAGACUAAAAAUAAUUGAUGUGAUAUGGCUUAAUGAGAGAAGAGAGAAAUAACAUUAACUAAGUGAGAAUGAACUAUAUAUAGAAUAUUAUAAAAAAGGAUGAAGAGAUAAAUUGAAAUAAUAUUUGAAUUAUGUGGGAUGAUGAUUUAACAUGCUUACAUUUUAAAAACUCUAAAAUUCAAUAAAUCAUAAAAUUACAAAUAAUACAGCAUGCUUCAUAAUGUUUAAAUGUAAUAAUUAUUAUUGAAUGAUGAUGUAGCAUAUUGUUAGAGGAUGAUGAUGUUGCAUCUUUUUAUUUCAACUACUCCCACAUUCCUUUAUAUAUAUUGUAAAAUUAACUGGGGCACUAUGGUGUCCAGGCACCAAGAUUUAAAUUGAGUACAUAUAUUCAAUUUAAAUGAGUAUGAAUUUUUUUAAAAAAAUGUUUAGAUAUGAUGGUUGUAAGGUGGUUUUCAGUCGGUUCAUCUGUAACCGUGAUCACCAUCUAAUAGGGCGCUGCCAUGUGCAAAGGGAAAGCUGGGGGACGGUAAGUCUGGUUCGGCUCCCACCGCCUCUAGCCAUCGACUUCAUCCAGUGAAUGACAGGUAGGCCUCUAUGGUGACUGAGGUUGGUUUGGCCCUACUUUAGAUCGGUUUCAACUGUCAUGUCAUGUGAGCCCUCCAAUCUUUUUACUCACGUAUGAUUGACCGGAGGUUCAUUUUAUGGCAUGACAUAUGUAUUUUUAUUCAUAAAUGACCUGCAUAAAUAUAUUUAUCAAAACUAGUGAAAAUGGUUAGCAAUAAACUCCUACCAUCAAGUUUUGAUAUAAUAUUUUAUAUUCUUUAUACAGGAGUUGACGGUUAAAGUUUACACUUAAUGACCGUCAACAAUAAGCGAUACCGUGGCAGUUUCGCGUAGCCGCGUGCUAACCUCGGUAUACCGGUAUUGCACUCCUACCCCGCGAUACCGAUGGAAUAUUUCUUCCAAACAAAUUUCAACCGGUAUAUUUCUUUCAAAAAAAAAUCAAUAUCAGUAUUCAUGCAAUUUUUGUUCAAAGCACUACUUUCGCUACAGUACAAUCUCUAAGGAACAGCCCCUACAUCAAGUGCCACUGUACUAUUGUCGUAUACUAUUUCUUUCUUUUCCACCGUUGACGUUUUAGAACGGAGGGAGUAUGUAUAUAUCGUCUGUACAUUAGAUUUGCUAUUUUGGUACUUUCAGUGUCCUUUUUCUGAGUACUAGCUGAAUAAUUUUGUGUUCGCUAUUGGAGGGUACACUAAGUUGAAAAAAGAAUUUAAAAUAGUUUUGUAAGAUGAUUUAAAAUAUAAGUAUUUAUAUGAUUAUUAACAAAACUAAGGCAGAGUGAAAAAAAUAUCUUUUAGUGGUUAAAUUUUAAAUUGUUUAUAUAUCCCUUUCAAGCAUCGGAUGAAAAUGUACAGAACGAUUUUUGUGCACUGGACUGAGUGUCCCAUAAAUACUUAUAUUGUGGCAUAAAUUUUUGAAUACUCAAAAUAUUUUGAAACAAAAGAAGUAUAUGGAAAGUGUGUACCAUUAAUCCAAUCUUUCAUAUGACUGUCAACGCCGUAAAUAUAUCUGUAAUAUUACUCUCAGUACAGUUAAUUAGCAUAUGGCCCUGAAAUUUUUCGGCCGAACCCGGCAAUUUUAUAUUUAUAUAUACCCUUGCCUUGAGCUUAGGCAUCAUGUAGCCUCGCCGCUCAAGCAUCGCUAACUCAGUUAUAGCUGUCUAACAAAGCAAAUUAGCUUUCGCUGAGCUUUGUGUUGCUUUUGGUCUCCUAGAUAGGUUUGUGAAGCAUGAAGCUCACGGUAGCAAUUGUCUGUGCCAUGGCGACCGCGCUUCUCGCCGCCGCCCCGUCGUCGGCGGAGGCCGGCGACGGCGAGCUGAAGGUGGGCUACUACGACAACAAAUGCAGCGGCAUCGAGGACAUCGUCAGGUCGCACGUCAUCAAGGCUAUCUGUCGAAACUAGAUUUCGGCAAUAAUAAAAGGGGGUGGCUAUCAAGCUAGGAAAGUGUAUGGGUUUGGAAACAAAGGAUUUAUACAGGUUCAGGCCUUCUUAUAAAAGAAGUAAUACCCUACUCCUGUCCGGGGAUGAAUCCGCCGAGUGUAUUAUUGAUUGUAUGAUUCGGGAAAAAAUCAGCAUAUGCCCCUAGAGGCGCCCGGACCCCCCUUAUAUAUGGGAAGGAGUCCGGAUUACAAAAGAUAAUCUAUAUUCCUAACGGAAUAUGAAGAUACAGAUAAAAUACAGUCGUAACCGACUAAGUCUCUGGGUGUUUCCUUGAUACACAAGUUAAGAAACAAACCCGAGAUACAGAUAAGAUAUUCUAUCUACAUUAGGUAUCCUGUACCCAGUUCGAAUACCAUCGCCGUGUAGAUAUGGGAUACCCAUAAUCUCCACAGUAGCCCCCGAGUCCUUUGCAGUCGACCAUCAUAGCCUUCUCAAAGAUGAUAAUCCGAGUACUUCAAACUCUUCAAGCCAAAAUCUGCCGAGUGGACUGUAAAGGGCGAAAAGAUAAAGAAUAUGGUGCAUCGAAUAGAUGCACCUAAUUAGGUGUAGCCCCCAACUAUGUGAUUAGUUAACAAACUAAACAUAUAGUUGAAAGACAAAAUAAUAACACAAUUGUGCAUUAUAUGACAAAAGCACACGCGGCGCCUAAAUAGGCAUGCUAGCCGACUGCUUUUUAGCCACAAUAAAAGAAAUCCGAGUGGUUUACACUCUAAAAAGUUCACGAAUGAACACACUUGACAGGCAUCCGAAUAUAAAAACUCUAAAGAUUACCCAUCAAGUAUUAUAAAGAUUAUGGUAAUAAAUAAGUCAAAUAGCCUAGGCCAUGACUAUUUACCAUGAAAACAGGCAUAUAAUACGCCAAGGAAAUGACUAUAAUAAAAACAAGUCAUCCCUAGUUAACCCAAACAGCUUUUGUAGCCUAAAAAAGCUUGCAAAAACAGCAUAACGCCUUUCUGUCGGGCACCUUUUUAAUUUGCAUUGCAAUAAUUCCAAAGAAUUAUAUGACCGCAUAAAAAGGAUUUCAUCAGCAUUGGGCAACACUGUUGUGCGCAUAAUAUUGCCAAAGCAAAAUAUGCCUAAGUCCCUAAGGAACACAAUGGGCCACGCUGUUAAAAGUAUUGGGCUGAAGUACUGUUCAGGCCUAGGCCCAUUAGCACCUCCGAUACCCUUAACUGAAAAAUCCGAUAUCCAAGCGACGCUUCGUCUUCCCCGCCGGAACUCUCGCCAUUUUCCCCACUCCCUGCUACAGUGUAAAGCUGCGCCGGCGAACUAGGGUUCACAGCUCCGGCCAAAUCCACCUCCGAAAAGUGCAUCAAAAUCCUUCCCGUGAUCCACCGCCUCAAUCCCUCACCUCUCCCAAGCCAUCCCUCGAAUCAAAUCAGCACAUUUGAGUGAAACCGAUGGCGGAAGAGAGAGAAAGCUUCGAAGGCCAAUGGGCGCCAUCCGACGUGACGGAGGAAAAUCUUAAGGAGAUGGUGGCGCACGGCGUUCUCCCUGCCAAGGAGAUCAUCGGGUGGCGGCCAGCGCACGGUGAGGUUUUCCCGUCUCCGGAUACUCAUGAGAUUGUGGUCUUCUCGCAUUUCUUCUACGGCGGCUUUGCUCUUCCGACCUCAAAAUUUUUCCGCGGGAUCUUGAAUUUCUAUGGAAUCAGCUUGCAUCACCUAAACCCGAAUUCCAUAGUGCAUAUCGCCAAUUUCAUCCAUGCUUGUGAAGCCUUUUUGGGGAUCAAACCUCACUUUGCCCUAUUCCGCCGGAUCUUCUUCCUCAAGCCCCAACCAAACAAGAACAAACCGUGUGUAGUCGGGGGGGCAGGAUUCCAACUAAGGGGAACUCUGAGCCAAAAAUAUUUCUCGAUGCCCUUCAAGACUUCGAACAAAGGCUGGCAUGCAAACUGGUUCUAUGUUCAGAAUCCCGAGCCUGCUCUUCCCGGGUACUCUUGUCUUCCUCCAGUGUACCAAGAUACUUGGAACUCUCUUCCAAUCGGAGAUGAAGCAGUACAAGCCUUGGAGUUGUUGGAUCGUAUGUUAAAUCUUAAAGAACAAGGCUUACAGGGAGAGCAGAUCACUCGGCACUUCAUCAAAUGCCGACUAGCGCCAAUCAAGGAAAGAUCCCGCACAGCAUUCGAGUUCGACGGCAAACAUGAUCCCAACCGUGAAGAACCAGAUUCCCUGGAUUUCAAAAUCAUGAAGGAGAGGAUGUAUAAAAUCUUCUCAAAUGCAAUUGUAGUCAGCUACUCUCAUCAACUGCCAGUUGUGCCAUAUAAUGCAUUCAAUCCGCCUCCACAGGUAUGCAUCGGAAACCCUCAAACCGUGAUCAGAACAUAAUUUUAUCUUCAUGCUGAGUUGACUAACUAUGGAAGCAUCUUGUUCAGGAAUAUGCAUUGAUGAAGUCAGAUCCACCAGUCACUCAGCGCCGGUCUCCUCGCCAACACACCGCUCAGGGAGGUGGAGGGCCAACGAUCAGACCAGAUCCGCAACCUCAGACCUCCAAAUUGACUGGUCAAACAGGUCCUCGCAAGAGAAAGCUGGUACUUGAUGAUGAUGAAGGCGACGAUGAUAAAUCUGGGGAUAAGGGCUCGCCUAAUAAACCCCCAAAGCGCACCAUGCCCAGGAAAAAACUGGCUGGCCGUGCGAUGCCAAAGAUCAGAACAUCUUCCAGGUAUUAGAUCUCUCGGUAUGAUUUCCGCUUCGGCAUGUUUUCCAAUGAAGAUAAUGCUAAAUACUGAAAGAACACUCUGCAGGAAACCAUCUGAUAUAGAUCCAUCUGGAAAGGACCCCGAUCCUGCCAUGACAGAGCAAAAUAUACCCAAGGACCCCGAGCCGACUGCUGAAAACCAGCCGACCGCUGAAAGCCAGCCAACUGGCGCCCAUGCUUCGGGCGAUAGGGCCGAUCCGAGUGACCUGCCGCCGACUAGAAAUCAGUCGGCAACAACUGAAACGGCAACAACUCAAGAGCCCCCGACUGGAAACCAGUCGGACGCAGGCCCUGAUCAAGAGAUCCCCGAAGUAGAAGCGCAGACGACGACUUCGCAAGGACCAGAGGCUGGUAACGACUCGAUAGCUGGGUCUUCAGGUAAAGAACAAAGAUCACCUCACGCUCAGCUAGGUACAUCUUCAGGUUAGUUGUCUUCUCAAACAAUGGCGAUUUAAAUAACCUCAGUGUAUCCGUCUAACGUCUUGGAAAUACAUCAGGACCAUCAGGUGAUGACGGAGAAGAAAUCCCUCGCAUAAAGGCGACCGACGACUCUCGUCCUCCUAUCUUGAUCAAAUGGUGGGACGAGAACUCACAAGCCGCCGGCAUAGUCAUAAACCGUCAAAAAGAAGAUGAAGAAGUGUGCCAGCUGAAGAAAGCGCUCGGAGAAGCCACUCGUAUUGUAAAUGUAAGUCUUCCGAGUGACGGCCUUCGGUAACUUUGUUUUCUUUUUAGCAGAACUGAACCAUGACCCAUCAUGCAGAGAAUCCAUCUUCGCAAUGAGGCCAAGACUACAACUUUGGAAAAGCUGGUUCCUCAUUUGGGAACUCUAGAAGCAGUUAGGGACCAGCUGCAUGAGGCCAAGGAGUGCGCCAAAAAGACAGAGAAAGAGUUAAGGGACCGAAUCGCCCAGCUCCAGGAUGCAAACUUCGAACUAAGUGGUUCAUCAAAAGGUAAUCAUCCAGAUCUGUUUCAUCGGUUUAAACUGGCAUAACGGUAUCCUCAACCAUCUGAAUUUCAAACAGCGCAAGCUGCCAGGAUGGAACAGAUGGUGAAGCAAAUUGAAGCCCUGGAGAGAGACAAGACAGAACUAGCUGCGCAAAGGGACUCAGCCUUGAAGGAAGUCGAAGGUAACGCCAGCUAACAAUCUGAGCUUCUCUCCUUAUAAUGCAACAGAUGCUCAUCAUAAAUGUGUUUUGCAGAACGCAAGAUCAAAUCUCAAGCUCAGUUUGACGUCCUGGUUGGUAAGAUCAAGAGGCUUGAAGGAGCAAGGGAUAACGUCGCCAAUGCCGCUGCACCAAUUAUCCAAGCCAUGUUCCUCAAUAAUGGUGGUCCGAGUGCACUCGACGCAACCGAAAUAUUUGACAAGCUGAGUGUUGCUCCGGAAGUAUAUUUCAAGAAUAUCAAGAAAGCUGGAAGUAUGGGAGCUGGCAUGGCCUUGGCGAUGACAAAAUCCUUGUACCCGAGAAUUGAAGUCGAUACCAUUGAUGGAUUUGCAGACGGGACAAGUGAAGAGGCUGCCCUUGAUCUUAUCAGCAAUGCUCAGAGUGCGGCUGACAAGAUUGCAAGUGAUGUUGUAGAACAAUUCCGCAACAAUGAUCUUCAGCCGAGCGAUGAUAACUCUGAUGAUGAAAGGACUGAUUCUGACUGAGUUUGAAUGUAAUACAUGGAGGCUCAAUUUGUACAAUACUGGUGUAUUUAUGCUGUGCUUGAUGAUUCUUGCGAAGUUUUUGAUUUCUUAAAAGUUUUUGCUAAGCUUUGUUGAGCCUAAAACCCAAAGAAGCUAUUAAAAACUUUCAGUCCUCGCAAACUAAGUAGAAAAACCAAACAAGGCAAUGAUAAACCGAGUAAGCAAACUGAAUUGAUAAAAAAUCACACUCCAUUAUUAUGAUGAUAGCCCCCGACUGACAACUUCAAGGAGAAAACUUGAUGUUUGACAGUCAAAAUAGGGAAAUACAAUGAUAAAGUUAAGCGUAGAAGCGACGAAGAUGUUCAAUGUUCCAAGAGUUGUCGACGAGAGUGCCGUCUUCGCGCUUGAGUCGAUAUGAACCUGGCCGGGUAACUUCAGAGAUAAUAAAUGGCCCUUCCCAUAGAGGAGAUAACUUGUGCCGAUCUCGUGUGGUUUGAAUUUUCCGUAAAACCAGGUCGCCGACUAGAAAGGCACGAGAUCGAACAUUGCGAUUAUGAUAACGUCGCAACCCUUGUAAGUACCGAGCUGACUGAAUCAAAGCUGCUUCGCGGACCUCUUCCAGUCGGUGCAAGUCGUCCACUCGGUCUUCUUCAUAGCGUUCUUCACGGAAAUUACGGAAGCGCAAAGAUUCGAACUCGACUUCACUCGGCAACAUUGCUUCUGCCCCGUAGACAAGGAAAAAAGGUGACUGGCCUGUGGCCCGACUGGGCGUAGUACGCAAAGACCAAAGUACUGAUGGUAACUGUGACACCCAUUUGCCGGCAUAGGGUUUAAGCCGGUCAAAAACUCGAGCUUUAAUCCCUUGAAGUAUCAUGCCAUUAGCUCGCUCCACCUGUCCAUUGCUCAUUGGGUGUGCUACUGAGGCAUAGCAAAUCUUGAUUCCAAAAUCUUCACAAAAGUCUUUGAAAACUCCGCCGGUGAAUUGUGUGCCAUUAUCGGUGAUGAUCCGAUUGGGUACUCCGAAUCUGUACACAAUGUUGAUGAAGAAAUCGCGAGCAUUAUCUGCUGUAAUCGUGGCAACAGGCUUAGCUUCGAUCCACUUGGAAAAUUUGUCAAUGGCCACAAAGAGGUGCGUGUAACCGCCGACUGCCUUUUUAAACGGGCCGACCAUGUCGAGCCCCCAAACCGCAAACGGCCAAGACAGCGGGAUAGUCUGCAACUCUUGAGCUGGUAGAUGAAUUUGUCUGGCAAAAAAUUGGCAACCUUCACAUGUGCGCACAAUUUUGUCGGCGUCGGACACUGCAGUAGGCCAGAAAAAACCCUGCCGGUAAGCUUUGCCAACAAUGGUACGCGCUGCAGCAUGGUUUCCGCAUAUCCCAGAAUGUAUGUCCUUCAACAAUUGUCUCCCUUCCUCUAAAGAUACGCAGCGUUGCAGAAUUCCUGAAGGGCUUUUCUUGUAUAACUCGGCUUCAUGCAUAACAUAAAGUUUGCUCCGCCUUGAAAUCCGCUCGGCUUCAUCUUUAUCUUGAGGGAGCUCUUGGGAAGUUAAAAAUCGUAUGAGGGGCUCUCGCCAGUCAGCUUCAACCAUAGCUAUGUCAUGAGUGUCCGCAACUUGAGUAGCAUCUUUGUGAGGUACUGUCGGCGAAUAAAGGUGUUCGACGAAAACAUCAGAUGGCGCUGCCUCGCGCUUGGAUCCAAAGUUGGCAAGUCUAUCGGCAGCUUCAUUGUUGUGUCGAAGAACAUGGCUGAGCUCAAGCCCGUCGAACUUAUCCUCCAGUUUGCGUACCUCUUGUCGAUAUGCCAUCAUGUUGUCGUCAAUGCAGGACCACUCUUUCAUAACUUGGUUGACAACCAGCUGUGAAUCACCUCGGACAAUUAGACGCUUUAUCCCUAGGGAAAUUGCAAUCCGUAGCCCAUGAAGGAGCGCCUCGUACUCGGCGACGUUGUGAGACGCCGAAAAAUGUAUCCAAAGCACAUAACUUAGUCUUUCUCCAGUUGGGGAAAUCAGAACCACUCCAGCUCCAGUGCCUGAAAGUCUUUUUGACCCGUCAAAAUGCAUGGUCCAGUGCUCUAUUUUCUCCACGGGGGUAUCCUCUUGGCACUCGGUCCACUCGGCGACAAAAUCAGCUAACGCUUGAGACUUGAUUGAAGUGCGGGGCUUGAAUGAUAUGUCCAAAGACAUCAACUCCAAAGCCCACUUAGCAAUCCGCCCAUUUGCUUCGCGGUUGUGCAGUACAUCGCCGAGUGGAAAUGAUGUGACCACCGUUACCGAGUGACCUUGAAAGUAAUGAGACAGCUUCCUGGUAGUAAUUAAAAUACCAUAUAACAGCUUCUGAACCUGAGGGUACCUCGUUUUGGAGUCGGUUAGGACCUCGCUGACGAAGUAGAUUGGUCGCUGAACUUUCUGGACAUGGCCUUCUUCCUCACGCUCGACAACCAAGACUGUGCUCACGACCUGGGAGGUGGCUGAUACAUACAGCAACAACGGCUCCUGCGGGUGUGGUGAAGCUAAGACCGGUGGCUUGGUGAGGAGUUGUUUGAAAUCUUCGAAAGCCUUCUGUGCUUCGGGUCCCCAUUGGAAAUUAUCUGUUUUCUUCAGUAGCUUGAAGAAGGGCAUCCCCCGCUCGCCAAGUCUUGAAACGAAUCGGCUGAGCGCCGCCAUGCAUCCAGUCAGCUUCUGAACGUCUUUCUGGGUGCUUGGCGGUUUCAUGUUGAGGAUAGCAGUAACUUUCUCCGGGUUGGCUUGGAUGCCCCUAUGAGACACCAUAAAACCAAGCAGCUUCCCUGACGGUACUCCGAAGGUGCACUUUUCAGGAUUCAAUUUCAUCCUGAAAGCACGGAUGCUUGCAAAGGUUUCUUCUAGAUCCGAGAUCAAAUCAUCCUUUUGCUUGGUCUUGACGACUACGUCAUCCACAUAGGCUUCAACGUUGCGGCCGAUCUGCGUUGAGAAGCAUCUUUGGAUCAUACGUUGAUAAGUUGCUCCUGCGUUUUUUAAUCCAAACGGCAUGGUGACGUAGCAGUAUGCCCCAAAAGGCGUGAUGAAUGAAGUCUUCAAGCAGUCGGAUUCCUUCAGUCGGAUCUGAUGAUACCCCGAGUAGCAAUCCAGAAAACUGAGAAGUUCGCAGCCGGCGGUUGAGUCAACUACCUGGUCAAUGCGAGGCAACCCGAAAGGAUCUUUUGGGAAAGAUUUGUUAAGGUCAGUGUAAUCGACACACAUGCGCCAUUGCCCUGUCUUUUUCCGAACCAGGACUGGGUUAGCCAGCCAGUCGGGAUGAAGGACUUCUUUGAUGAAGCCUGCUGCUAACAGCUUGGUCAAUUCCUCCUUGAUCGCGUCCUUCCUGUCUUGUGCAAAUCGGCGGAGUCGUUGUUUAAUAGGCUUGGCGUCUUCUUUGACAUGUAAGGAGUGCUCAAUCACCUCUCUGGGAAUACCGGGCAUAUCCGAAGGUUUCCACGCAAAGAUAUCUUUAUUAUUUUGAAGAAAGGUGAUGAGCGCGCUUUCCUAUUUACAAUCUAACUCGGCGCCUAUUACAGCAGUUUUGGUAGGAUCGGAAGGAUCUAAGGGAAUCUUUUUAGUCUCGGCUUCGGUUUCCCCACUUUUUGAAAUCUUGGCAGCUGGCACUUCUCCUUCGCUCACCGUGGUUGCAGCCAGUCGGAUUUCCUCUCGGGCAGACGCCAUCUCGCGGGUUUGGGCCAUAUCACAACUCUCCUUGUCACAUGUGACAGCUUGCUUGAUGUCGCUCCGUAGGGUUAGGACUCCUCGGGGACCAGGCAUCUUCAUCAUCAUGUAUGUGUAGUGCGGGACGGCCAUGAACUUGGCUAACGCCGGGCGUCCGAGUAUGGCAUGGUAUGCUGUCUCGAAAUCGGCAACUUCAAAGCUGAUAUUCUCUGUGCGGAAGUUUUCCCGAGUGCCAAAAGUGACCGGGAGAGUGAUCUGGCCGAGUGGAGUUGCGGAUAAUCCUGGAAUUACUCCAUGAAAAGGCGCAUUGCUUGGUUUUAACUCGGAGCGAGGGAUCUGCAUAUCAUCCAAAGUCUUGGCGAAGAGGAUAUUGAGUGCACUGCCACCAUCAAUGAGGGUUCUGCGAAGCUUGACAUUACGGACCACUGGGUCUAGUACCAGGGGGUACCGCCCCGGGUGGACCACUCGGUCAGGAUGAUCCGAGCGGUCAAACUUGAUUGCAAUCUCUGACCAUCGAAGAUACUGGGGUGUGUCGGGCUGAACAGCAUUGAUCUCCCGUUCGGUCAGCUUUUGCUUCCUUUUAGACUCAUAAGCCAUGGGGCCGCCGAAAAUAUGAUUGAGCUCCUUACGGUGGUCUUGAAAUCCAGCCGGGGUGUCGCCGUCGUCCUUCUUCCUUGACGUGCUUUGUUCCUCGUCGGAGUUCUUCCGAGUAGACUUGGUGUACUGCUCCGCGAACUGCUUGUAGAUGAAGCAUUCUUUGGCCACGUGGUUGGAGUUUGGAUGAUGCGGGCAUUGGGAGUUCAUGAUCUUGUCGAAGGUGUUGACGCGCGAACGCUGUCGAGAAGAGUGAGCGGCGGUUGCAACAAGUUCCUCAGGCUUGCGCUUGCGGUCCUUAUGAUUGUUACUUCCACCUCCUCCCGUAGCCGGCGUAUUUUUCGGCUUCCAACUGGGACCCGACUGCUUCGAUGCGGUGACGGCGUCUUCGGCUUUGGCGUACUCGUUGGCUUUUUCAAACAUGAGCUUGACUGUUCUGGGAGGUUUGCGCCCGAAUUUGCCGACCAAUUCUUCGUGGCGAAUCCCUUUGGUGAAUGCGGCGAUGAUGACGUCGUCGGUGAUGUCGGAGAUCUUGUUACGUUGUUCAGAAAAUCGCCGGAUGUAAUCUCGAAGAGAUUCUCCGGACUUCUGAAUGACGUUGUAAAGAUCAUAUUGUGUGCCGGGACGCUCGAAGGUGCCUUGGAAGUUGGCGAUGAAGUGGUCGCGUAGUUCGGCCCAAGAUCCAAUUGUACCACGGGGCAAUCCAUGGAGCCAAGAUCGGGCGGAAUCCGCUAAAGCCACUGGUAAAUAGUUCGCCAUGGCCUUGUUGUCUCCUCCUGCUGCGCGGAUUGCGAGACCGUAGACGGUAAGCCACGAUUCGGGGUUAGUGGUGCCGUCAUACUUCUCUAUUCCAGUCGGUUUGAAGCCGGCUGGCCAAUCCACUCGACGCAGGUCGUCGGUGAAGGCUGCAACUCCGUCAAGGUCGUCGUCGCGGCGAUCCGGCGAGUGAUGAUAGCCUCGAGCUGCUCGGCGCUGCGUGAUUGUGUCGCGAAGAUCGAUGGGGCGGCGACGAGGUGGUGAGCGAGGCCGUUCCACUCGGCGCUCCCUAUGAAGUUCGGGAGGCGAGUGAACAGACCGCUCGUCGUGGCCCCUGCUCCUGCGAUUGGAUCCUGCUCCAGUAAUGCUGAGGCUUGGAUGACGGUAGUCAUGAGAUCGGAAGUGGGGGACCCGGCUGCCAGUCGGCGUGUGGACGCUUUCGGAGUUAACUGGGACCGUCGCCGCAAUCAUGGUCUUCGUCUGGUUCAAGAUGUUGACGACGUGGUCGGAUUGAUUGAGCUCGUUUUGGUUGAGGAGGGUGUCGAGAAGGGUGAUCGCGGCAACCGCAUUCUGUUGAGGGGUGCGGAAAACCGGUGUCCCUUCGACAUCUUGCUGGCCGAUGAGAUCACGCGCUCGGCGCCCUGCUUCCAAAGCUCGUUGACGUCGAUCCUCAGCCUCCUUCGCGGUCCGCUCACGGUCCUGCUGCUCACGCCGUAGCCGUUCUUGUUCUUGCGCUUGAUGCUCCUCCUCCAGUCGGCGACGUUCUUCGUUCUCCCUGGCUUGGCGUUGCUCCUCCGUCUCAUUAUUGGCCAUGAAAACGCCAAAGUAGAGAGGGGUGUAGUUGUCAUCUAGGCUUCCGUCGAAGUCGUCGAAGUCGUCGAAGUCGUUGUAGCGAGAACUAAAUUCGUCGUACUCCACGAUGUCAGUAGGACGUGAGUCGACGGUGGGAGAGCUGUUGUAGUCAUCCAGCUGAUCCGUCGAAACCGUGCCGAGUGGUUGGAGGAUGACGCCGACUUCCCUGAAGCUAGGCGAAAUCGGUGUUGAAGCCGACUUCCGCCUAGGCCUACGGGAUGAAGGCGCUGUCGUGGUGAAGACGGCCGCUAAAUCGUCGGGGAGCUUCAUCAGGACCGGUGGGUAAGCCCCAUCAUCCUGAUCUGGUAUCGUUGGAGAAGAUGCGAUCUCGGCCGAGUGGUUUGAAGCCGACUCGGUUGAGGUGGUCUUGAAAUAGCUUUCAGCCGCGUUCGGGAAUCCAAACGGGACCGAAAGCCGGUUCUCUCCCGACUGGUCUGAUUCCGAGUCGAGGAGAGAAAUCUUGCCGAAGUUGUUGGUGAUGAAGUCGAGGCUGCCGAACCGAAACGUCUGCCCGGGUGGGAAGACGAGGUCGUCGAUGCCGGAGAUGGAACCCAUUGCACUGAUCGGCGAAAAAGCUUGACGCUACCCCUACCUGGCGCGCCAACUGUCGAAACUAGAUUUCGGCAAUAAUAAAAGGGGGUGGCUAUCAAGCUAGGAAAGUGUAUGGGUUUGGAAACAAAGGAUUUAUACAGGUUCAGGCCUUCUUAUAAAAGAAGUAAUACCCUACUCCUGUCCGGGGAUGAAUCCGCCGAGUGUAUUAUUGAUUGUAUGAUUCGGGAAAAAAUCAGCAUAUGCCCCUAGAGGCGCCCGGACCCCCCUUAUAUAUGGGAAGGAGUCCGGAUUACAAAAGAUAAUCUAUAUUCCUAACGGAAUAUGAAGAUACAGAUAAAAUACAGUCGUAACCGACUAAGUCUCUGGGUGUUUCCUUGAUACACAAGUUAAGAAACAAACCCGAGAUACAGAUAAGAUAUUCUAUCUACAUUAGGUAUCCUGUACCCAGUUCGAAUACCAUCGCCGUGUAGAUAUGGGAUACCCAUAAUCUCCACACUAUCAUACAGGACCGCGGCAUAGGCGGCUCCCUCAUCCGUCUCAUCUUCCAUGAUUGUUUUGUCAGGGUAUAUUUUGUUUCUUCCUCCGUUUAAUAAUGUAAGUCAUUCUAUCAUUUCUCACAUUCAUAUUAAUGUUAAUGAAUCUAGAUAUAUACAUUUCCUAUCUAGAUUCAUUAACAUCAAUAUGAAUAUGGGAAAUGAUAGAAUGACUUACAUUGUGUAACGGAGUGAGUACAUAUCGGUACUUCAUCUAUUUCAUAUUAUAAAUUGUUUCGGGUUUUAAAUGGAUUUAUGAGUGAAUUCAUUUAUAUUACCUCUAUUUCUCAUUAUAAGUCAUUCUAUUUUUUUUCCUAGUCAAACUUUCAAUUUAUAGAAAAAUAUAGUAACUUUUUCAGCACAAAGAAAAUAUUAUAUUAUCAAAAUGUAUUAAAUGUUAAUCUUAAUGAUAUUAAUUUGGUGUUGUAAAUGUUGCUAAAAUUUUUCAUAAACUUAAUCAAACUUAAAAAGGUUUGAAAAAAAAUUAAAAUGAGUUAUAAUACUCUCUCCAUCAUAUUCCAAAUCUAAAAAAUUUACUUUUGAUAGGCAUAUUUCAAUCCAACCACCUAUUCUUUUAAUGACUUUCUUGGAUUUCAUGGGGGUGGCUAAUUGGCGCGCGCCCGCCUGUUGGCCCCGGCCCGGAAGCCCAUCAGGCUUCUUUUUUUCUUUUUUUUCGCAAGAUUUUUUUGCGAUUUUUUUGCCUUUUUCUUUUAUCUUUUUUUUCGCUUUUGUCUUAUUACUUUUUUAAUCUUUAGCACACAUAUUUUUUCAAAAAAUGUUUUGAGUUGAAAAUUUUUAAAUCUUUAACUUGAAAAUUUUAAAUUUUGAUUUGAAAGUUAUCAAAUCUUAAGUUGAAAGUUUUCGAAUCUGAGUUGAAAGUUUUUAAUCUCAAGUUGAAAACUUUUAAAUCUGAGUUGAAAGUUUUCAAAUCAGAGUUGAAAGUUUUCAAGUCGAAGUUGAAAGUUUUCAAAUCAGAGUUGAAAGUUUUCAAAUCUGGGUUGAAAAUUUUUCAAAUUUAAGAUGAAAAGUUGAAAGUUCCAAAAUUUGACUUUAAAAAAUUUAAAUUUUGAGUUAAAAGUUUUUAAAUCUGGGUUGAAAAUUUUCAAAUCUAGAUUGAAAGUUUCAAAUUUUGAGUGGAAAGUUUUUAAAUUUGAGAUGAAAGUUUUCAAAUAUGGAUUGAAAACGUUUCAAAUUUGAAUUGAAAGUAUUCAAAUAUCAGUUAAAAGUUUAAAAUUUUGAGUUCAAAGUAAUAACACAAAAAUAGAAAAUAACUAAAAAAACAAAACGUGAAAAAAAAGGGAAAAAGAUGUGGGCCUAACAGAAAAAACACAAACGACGAGUCCUUUCUCAAUAAAAAAAGUGCGCGCUAUUUGCUUAACUCGCGCAGCUUUUCCGGAAUUUAAUGCGUGACUCUCCAUUCUUCCACGCAAUAUUGGCUAUAUAGGCAUCGAGAAAUGUAAAUAUAUUAAUAAAUCGCUUGUUUACGAGAAAUAACUAGUAGCAUAUUUAAAUGGAUGAUAAGUAAAAUUACUUAUCUUUGAUCGGUGUAUUAAGAUAAAAUAUAACUAUAAAAAGUAAUGAAGGGAGUACGAAACAGAGGACCAAAACAACUUAUAUAGUGAAAAGGAGUAGUAGUUUUGAAGCACUAAGGAGGUACUAGUAGCUUUGAAGCACUUGGGACUAAUGAGUGGUUGCACAAUGCAUGCAUGCAUGCAUGAGUAUUGCAGGGUUGCGAUGGUUCCGUCCUCCUUAACGCGUCCGACGAGAACCCUCGUCCUGAGACGGCAGCGCCGGUGAGCAUCGGGCUGGAAGGAUUCGACAUCCUGGAGGAGAUCAAGGCCGAUCUCGAGAGGAGGUGCCCCGGCGUGGUCUCCUGCGCCGACAUCCUCAUCUUCGCCGCCCGCGACGCCAGCAGCAUCCUCAGCAACGGCCGCGUCCGCUUCGACGUCCCCGCGGGCCGCCUCGACGGCGUCGUCUCCUCCGCCUACGAGGCCCAGGCGGAGCUCCCGGAUCCCACCUUCACCAUCCGGCAGCUCAUCGACAACUUCGCCCGCAAGAACUUCACCGUCGAGGAGCUCGUCGUCCUCUCCGGCGCGCACUCCGUCGGCGACGGCCACUGCUCCUCCUUCACCGCCCGCCUCGCCGCGCCGCCCGACCAGAUCACCCCGUCCUACCGCAACCUGCUCAACUACAGGUGCUCCCGCGGCGGCGGCGCCGACCCUGCGGUGGUGAACAACGCCCGCGACGAGGACCUCGCCACCGUGGCGAGGUUCAUGCCGGCGUUCGUCGGCAAGCUGCGGCCGGUCAGCGCCCUGGACAACACCUACUACCGCAACAACCUCGACAAGGUGGUCAACUUCAACUCGGACUGGCAGCUGCUGACGCAGGACGAGGCGCGCGGCCACGUCCGCGAGUACGCCGACAACGCCGCCCUCUGGGACCACGACUUCGCCGCCUCGCUGCUCAAGCUCAGCAAGCUGCCCAUGCCGGUGGGGAGCAAGGGGGAGAUCAGGAACAAGUGCGGCGCCAUCAACCACAGCAAGAGCUAAUUCGGCCACUUAUGCAGGGGGUUACGUACAUGCAUGCAGACGAUGUGGUCGUAGCCAUAUGUUUUCUUGUUAUAUCUCAUCGUUCUAAAAUACAGAAAACCUUGUACUCGAAAAAAAAAGACUACUCCAGUAUAAUAUAAAGUAUUUGUAUUUGUGGUUACCCAUAUAUUUACCUGUUAUGAAUUGUUACUACCUUCGUCCCUGAUUUUGCAUCUGUUAGUGCAUAGACUAAAUCCCAUACAUAUUUAGUACUCGUGGAUUGUCAUGUAACUGGGCUGAAUCGGUAUACAUAUUGAGCCCAUGGCUAGCUAGGCUCAAUCCGCUGCGAUAAGCCAAUCAUUCAAGCCGUUACAAAAGGAGCAGAUCCAACAGAUGGGAGGAUCGAACAAAAUAGAUGAAACCUGAGUUCUUCCUUCCGAUGCUCUCUCUUCUUCAACCUCUGUAUCUCUCUUCUCUUCAAUCCCUGGCUAUCUCUUCUUCUCCAAUCUACUGCUAAUUCUCAGUCUUGAUUCCAUUUCUCCCAUUUGUAUCCCCAAAUACUCGUGUAUCAAGUGUUGGAGGAAGAAUUGUGUGCUUGUGCUGGAAUUCACUAAAUCACAUAGAGUGGGUUCGUAACAAUAUGGUAUUAAAGCCAACAAUCCAUGGGUUCCAAGCCAGGAGAUGAGAUGGAUGACAUACGUGGCAGCCGCGACUUCCAUAGACUGGAUCUAAGAAUUUGGGGUGGUUGCACUUGAGGCGUCUAAGAACACACAUGAACAUCUAAGAACACAAGAACACAACAUGAAUAUCUAAGAACACACAUGAACAUCAAGAACACAAGAUGAACACACAUAAACAAACCAGCAUCUAUAGUAUAGUUGUCGGACUUUUUUCAAAAUCGGCACUUAUAAAUACUUAAAGGUGCCAAUUUUUCCCUUUAGCGCCCCCCGCGGGCGCUCCGGUGGGUGGGAAAAGCAUAAUAGGUGCCGGUUUUAGUUAUUCCGGCACCUAUAAUACUGACUUUUAUGUGUCUUUUUGUAGUACUGAUUUGCAGUUGACAUGAUUAUCAUCGAACACUUAUGGGAGAAAAAAAUAAAUUUGUUCUAGCCAAAUCAAUAGAGAGUGCAGAUGAGAACUUUUGAAAAAUGGGGUCCAAAAACAUGUUGAAACACAUUUGUUUAGAUCCAUGCAUGUACAUGGAAAUUUUCGGGGUUGCUAGUCUAUUGGUCGCUCGCUUUGCACCUGCCAAUUGAUAGGCCCAGUAGUUGACGUGAUCUGACACACGGCUGGGAUGAACGUAGGUUAGCUGCUUCCCAACCAGUCAACAGGACCUCUUAAACAAAAGGGAAGUCAAAUAAGAAAAUGUUUAAUUAAUCUAGCCUGGUUCGGAUGCUAGAUAACAGUAAUGGAGUGAUUAAAUAUUGAUGAGACCACUAUAAUCUCGAUUAUAUUUGAGCUAGCGAACAUGCCUGCUAUAGUUCCCUCAAAAUCCUAAAGAUAUGUAUGGCGUUAGCGUCCUUUCCAGUGGAUACGCUUAACACAAGCUUUUGACGUGAAAGUUAAUUAAUUUACUACUGUACAUGGAAAGAAAUUCUACAAAUACAUCGCUCUUAGGUAACAGCAUUUGAAUUGAAAUAAAGAUACAUGUUGUCAAAUCGACCAAAUAAACUGACCUCCUUCAUAGGGGCGGAACUAGCCACCGGGCGGCUGCUUGGGCUCGUUAGCGAAAACUACACAAAAUUUUAAUAUUAAUGAGUAAAUAGAUGAUGAAAUUUCUAUAGCAAAUAUCAGUUAUAUUGAAAUUUGUCUGGGCUCAAAAAUCUUUCUAGCUCCGCCAUGCAUCCUUCCAUCAAAUACUGUGCUUCGGUUGACACAUGCAUGAUGCAUCUGGACGGCCAAUUAAUUUACUCUAUAUAGCUCCAGCCGAAUUUAAAUUAAGUUCACCGUCACAACGCCAGGUAUGGAUCGAUGUCAACGCCUACACGUUUUAUCAGUUACUAGCUGUUUUGCUCCCCAUGUUGUUAGACAACAAGAACUGGCAAAUAACUAUUCUGAUGAUUGCUCUCCAAAUAUUCCUCAAAUCUCUUAUUUAAUCAAUCUCCUCAUUCAAAAGGAGUAGCUCAAUUAUCAAUGAUCAAUUUGCACAUCCAUUUGUACCUAUAAAUACAUCGAAUGUUUGCCUGUCACAUCAUCAAACAUCAACCAAUCCUUUGAGGUAGCGAUCACUACACAUAUAUUCAUUCGGUUUCAGGCGUUUCUUUGCUGUCUCCUAGUGAACAACCUUGUCAGAAUUCAGAAUGUUCAGCAGGGGGAUGAAGCUAAUUCUCAUGGUAGCCUUCCAGGCUAUGAGCCUCAUCUCCAUAUCAACUGCAAGUCUGCAGUACAAUUUCUACGGCUCGUCGUGCCCAAAUGCCGAGCAGACGAUCAGCAAUGUCGUCUACGGCUUGAUCGAUGCUGACCCUUCCAUGGCCCCGGCGCUGCUGCGUUUGCAUUUCCAUGAUUGCUUUGUCAUGGUAAUGUAAUUGCUAACCACAAGUUAAUUUAGUUUUUCAACUAUGAAUUGAUAGCAGUUUUAAUUUCUCACAAGAUAUAUUACUGCAAGCAAAGCUUAGAUAUUGAUGGUUAAUUACUUCAUUUUGUCCCCAAAAAAAAUGUAAACGAAGUUUUUUUUUUUUUGUUUUUUGAUCAUGCAGGGUUGUGAUGCGUCCAUCCUUCUUGAUCCCACGAAGGCAAACGGCUCGCCGGAGAAGACAGCGAUCCCGCUCCGCGGGUACGACGCCGUGAACAAGAUCAAGGCGGCCGUCGAGGCCGUCUGCCCCGGCAAGGUCUCCUGCGCCGACAUCCUCGCCUUCGCCGCCCGCGACUCGGUGGCCAAGUCCGGCGGCUUCGUCUACCCGGUCCCCGCCGGCAGCCGCGACGGCAACGUGUCGUCCGCCUUCUCCGUCUUCUCCAGCAUCCCGUCGCCGUUCUUCGACGCCGGGGAGCUCGUCCAGAGCUUCGCCGCCAAGGGGCUCACCGUCGACGACCUGGUGGCGCUCUCGGGUGCGCACUCCAUCGGCACCGCGCACUGCUCCGGGUUCAAGAACCGGCUGUACCCGACGGUGGACGCGUCCCUGGACGCGAGCUACGCGGCGGCGCUGAGGGCGGCGUGCCCUGACGGCAGCGCCGCCGACGACGGCGUGGUGAACAACAGCCCCGUGUCGCCGGCGACGCUGGGCAACCAGUACUUCAAGAACGCGCUCGCCGGGCGGGUGCUGUUCACGUCGGACGCGGCGCUGCUGACCGGCCAGAACGACACGGCGGAGAAGGUCAGGGAGAACGCCGGCGACCUGACCGCGUGGAUGGCGCGGUUUGCGGCGUCGAUGGUGAAGAUGGGCGGCAUCGAGGUGCUCACCGGGGCGCGGGGGGAGGUCAGGAGGUUCUGCAACGUCACCAACAGCUAAAAAGCUAUACUGGCUGGCUCGAGUGAAGAACGCACUUGUGCCAUUGGUGUGCGUGCCGUUUUUGCUUAGUGGCAAGUUUGCACCUUGUGCUAAUUAAACGUUUUUGUUCUCCAAUCUACACCAUGCACACACACCAUUCAUGUUGCAAUUUUUUAUUGCCACCUUGUUCUAUAAGAGGAGGAAAAUUAACCACCUUAAUUUGUUAUUCACUCUGGUUAUAGUAUUUUGGUUGUAUGGCUCAUGUAAAAGAUUUGGGGCUUUUUUUUUUAGAAUUACACAGUGCAAUGUAGAUACUCACAACGCACACGCACUCACAUCUAUGAAUACACGCACGCAAACCCUACCCCUAUAAGCAUCUUCGAAAACUGGGCCGGCAAAUCCUUGAGAUUGACGAAGUCACCAUAGGCACCUCGUUGUCGACGGAUAUGUCGCCUACCACUAAAAGCACAACGCCGUUAUAUCUUAGAAAAUCCGCUCCCAUGGGGAGUCGAACCCAAGACCUCAGGUGCUACUGAGGCUCUUGUAACCACUAAGCGAAAACGCCGUUAUUAUUAUUAUUUUUGGAGAAUUUGUGAUUUGGAUCUGAGAUUUGUGUGUGAUGUGAAUAUGUGAUGCAUUUGUGAUGAAUUUUGUAGAAGUUGUGAUGUAAUUUUUUUUAAGAUUUUAUGAUGUAUUUGGAGAUGAUCGAUUUGAGGAUUUGGAGGCAAUUCGGGGAUGAUUGAUUUGGGAUUUUUGGGAUGGGAUGGAGUGAAAUCAAUAUAUUAAAAACAACAAUGAAGAAAAGAAAAGAAUAAAGGAGCAACUGAAUCUAACCUCUUUAGUCCCGGUUGGUAACACCAAUCGGGACUAAAGAUAGCCGGGACUAAAGAUAGCGAUCUUUAGUCCCGGAUUCGUAGUCCCGGUUAAAAAAUCAGGUCUACAAAAGGUUACGAAUCAGGACUAAAAAGCACUUCUCUACUAGUGUGCAAAUGUGUGAGCCCCCAUUGACCAAGUGUAGGAGCAAACCCUCUAAAAGUGUCCAGCCUCUCUGGCCUUGAUCAGUCAAUUGAUCGACAUCGGUUUGUCGUUUCGCAAAUGGUAGAAAUGAUGAUGGGUUUUUGAUACUGAAUUGAGUCUCUGAGCGAAUUCUGAUGAGUAGGAAAAGCAUCUUCAUAAUGAAGGUCCUAAAUCUCGUAUGUGAAUUCCUGUUGAUAAAGAAAAUGAUGGUUCACUUGGAACUAUACUUGUGCAAAAGAAUCCUAUUCUUUUUUUUUGGUGCCCUUAUGGUGUAUAUGUUGUGAUAGUAAACAAAGAAAGGAGGUGUUUUGUUUUCGGAAAUGGUGGAAAAGGAACUUUUGCUCAUCUCAAGUUCCCUUUCUAGCUGGCCAUUUUGCGGAGGGGGAAAAACCAACUUUCCCUGUAAAACAGUGUGCUUUGAUCCUUCUAUGUUAUUCGUUUUGUUCGUGAAAUUCUUUCGAGGUUGCUGACAUUUUUGUGUUUUCCACAUGGAACAAAGAUCUGCCACCAAGAAUACAGCAGGCCAACAUGCAUCUUUCUGGGUGUUCAAGCAGGAUUGUCCUUGUUGACAUCAGAAUUGACGAUGGUAUUUUCAGCCUCUUCUCUUUUCGAUAUUUAAUAUGAGAUCUGAGCCUGAGAAAUUUCAGCCAUAAAUGCUGCAUGUUUUGCACAUGCUUUGUUCUGAUUGUAAUAUCUGGCAAUUUCAGAUUUUUGGGAUAGCACUUGGAUUCAAUCUUCUAUUUGAAUAUGAUGAUCUCAUCACUGGGAUAUGUUUUGCAACCGUUGUUCCUAAUCUGCUACCAUAUGCUAUAUCACACCUGGUAAAGAAGAAGAUUAUCUCAUAUAGAAAACUUCAAACCUAUAUUGUAAUCUGAUUUGGAGUUAAUAUUUGUCAAUUACUUUCAUAUACCUAUUCUAGGGAAAGAAGAUGGUGGGGACAUUAAAUGCUUGCAUUGCAGGCUUUGCGCUUCUUUGCUACGUUCUUGGUUUAUUGGUCAGCCAACCACAAAUUCCUCUGACAACGAAUGUAAUUUUCCCCAAGCUCAGUGGUGAAAGUGCUUAUUCUCUGAUGGCUCUUCUUGGUGCAAACGUAAUGGCACACAACUUUUACAUCCAUUCAUCAGUUGUUCAGGUAAAUUAUGAUGCUUCUUUGUGCCCAUUACAUAGUUAGAAUUAUAUUUGAUUUGAUGCAUUUGGGGUGAGGGGGGUUUGGGCAUUUGGUGGACAAUGGUCAAUGGCAUGCCACAAUUAUUUACACCACACAAUGACACAUGUUGCUAGCUUUGCUAGUGUUUCGAACAGUUCAGAAAUUCCAAACUGAUAGCAAGGGUCACUAUAUUAGACUAGUUAUACCAGUCUAAUAUCGGAUGUAGUGGAGAAUGUUUUUGUUCUAAUAGAUCCAGUGGUUUGUGGGUACGCUGUAUCCAACUGAAAAAGAUAUGGUUUGUCCUAUUUCAAUUGUUUGCGCAGAGUUGAAGUGAUGUUCAUUGACUUAAUUUCAAAACACCAAGAUACAUCUUCUAGCGAAUUGCAGCAUUAUGUUAGGCAUGCUCAUCGUUAGUUAGUGAAAGAAUUUGUUCUCACUUAAUCCAGUUUGGAGCUUAACUAACAAUUAUGGCCAAUGAAACUAUAGUAUUUAAUAAGCUAUUGUGCCACAUGCGGAAUACUAUUUCUGAUUGACAAGCACAAAUCUAGAAUGUUCCUUGAGUAAAUGUUUGUUCCCUAAAACUGUGGCCUAUUUCUAUUUGUUUUCUUUUUUACUUUCGCGUGUACAUAUUUUGGUUCACUAAUGGUAAAUGUCUAGUGUUCAUGAGGUCUUUGCCUUAGGUUUGCUAGUAUAUGAUAUAUAUAUUACCUAAAGUGUAUAAAAAUGGAUAGCAUUAGUGAGUUUGACAGCAAAACCAGCUACAUUUCAUUGCCCUUUGUGUCUUAUGCUUUUGGUUGUCUUUUUUUUUCAGCUUGUAUCCAUGUUUGCUAAUCAAAUAAUCUCUUUUCAGGGUCAGAAAAGAUCUGCCUUUGCCGUUGGUGCCUUAUUUCAUGAUCACUUGUUUUCAGUAUUAUUUAUUUUUACUGGAAUUUUUCUGGUGAAUCAUGUUCUAAUGAACUCUGCAGCAGCUGAUUCCACUAACACCCUUCUUCUCACCUUCCAAGAUGUUGUAGAACUAAUGAACCAGGUUAGUACUAUAGUUCCUACUACUUCACCCUGUGAUAUGCUAAGCUGGUGCUGAAGAAAUCUUGUUUCAGUAGCAAUCCUAAAGUGAUAUACACUACCUAACAUUUAUCAUUUUGCAGAUAUUUGUAAACCCUAUGGCUCCAACUAUAUUUCUAGUGGUUCUUCUCUUCUCUAGCCACAUCAUCUCGUUGACAUCUGCUAUUGGUAGCCAAGUGAUUUCGCAGCAUUUGUUUGGCAUUAAUCUUCCUCUCUCUGGACAUCAUCUGAUACUGAAGGCUUUUGCCAUAGUUCCUGCUCUGUACUGUGCUAAGGUUGCAGGUGCUGAAGGAAUAUACCAAUUACUGAUAAUCUGCCAGAUUAUCCAGGCCAUGCUCCUUCCAUCAUCAGUCGUGCCACUCUUCCGUGUUGCCUCAUCAAGAUUGAUAAUGGGUGCCCACAGAGUGUCUUUGCAUCUGGAGAUAUUAACAUUUCUUGCAUUUCUCCUCAUGCUGUUUUCGAAUAUCAUCUUUAUGGCAGAAAUGCUGUUUGGUGACAGUGGUUGGCUGAACACUCUGAAAGGGAAUACUGGAAGCCCUGUGGUGUUUCCAUCUACGGUUCUCAUCACGGUGGCUUGUGUCUCUGUUGCAUUUUCACUCUACAUGGCUGUUACACCACUGAAAUCAGGAAGCCAUGAAGCUGAAUUGCAGCAGGAAUGGUCUGUGCCUUCUCAGAAAGAGCUCUUGAAUACUACUCAAGACAGAGAAGAGACUUGUGCGGGCAAUGUUACCUAUGAGGAAGAUCAGAGAUCUGAUGUUGUCCCUUCUCCUAGGAUUCAGCCUGUGGAUUGUCUGAAAUCAGCUCUGGACUACAUUGAUAGUUCGGACACAGCUAUAGAAUCUGAUCAUGAUUCUCAACAUUCCACUGCUCAUACAUCUACCGCUCCUGAAUCCUGUCACUCUCCAUCAUUCAUUCCUGAAGAGUCAAAAUCAGUUGUUGCUGUUGACUGGCCAGAGCCUCUGGAGCCAAUUUCUAAUGCUAUUGUGGCUGAGGAAAGUACAGUAGAGAGUGUGGACUCCAAGAGCACAGGCGAAAGGGAUAUUGAAGUAGAACCAGCUCUUUUGAUGGACAAUGAUAAGGAGGCUCCAAAUAUUCUAGAGUCUGACAACAAGUCACUUGGAGGCAAUAAUCCUUCCUGUGCAUCGGAUGAUGGCCCACCAUCUCUUACCUUCAGCAGGGGGAAAGGCUCAGAUGCAGGCAAUGGCAGCGGGAGUCUCUCGAGGUUAUCUGGUUUGGGCCGUGCAGCAAGGAGGCAACUAGCAGCCAUACUUGAUGAGUUCUGGGGGCAUCUCUUUGAUUACCAUGGGAAACUCACUCAAGAAGCUAGCUCUAAAAGGUUUGACAUCUUGCUUGGGCUAGACGUAAGAACACCUAGCUCAACUGUAAGAGCAGACAGUCAAGCUAAUGAAAUCCCGAAGAGUCCCAUGGUACGAGACAAUUUACAAGGGUCUGCCUUCUUGGGAAGUUCAAGGGAUCUGAUGUCUACUAAGAAUGAGAUGUCGAAUUUGGAUCUGACAUAUGGGCUUCAGAUGGGCAAUAACAUUGGGUCAUCAGCCUGGUCUCAGGGCAUGCAGUUACCAAGUACCCAACUGCAGAGUUCAAGCAACAGCUUACUCGAUCAAGGUGCAAGAUUAAAUUCAAAUUUUAGCACGCCAUCAUACGCAGACAACAACCAAUUCUACCAACCUGCAACGAUUCAUGGGUAUCAGCUCGCAUCAUACCUAAAACAGAUGAAUGCUAAUCGAAAUCCUUACUCUAGCAUGCCAUUGGACCCACAGCGACUUCCAAAAUCUUCUGCAUCGGCUGUGCCAACCUAUGUCGAUUCUGUCAUGCAUGCUCGUAACCAGAACUUGCUUGCUUCAUUGGGAGCUACUCCUUCACAGAUCGCAGCAACAUCCCGGAUAGGUACUAUGAUGGCAGAAAG